GGUUGGUUCGUCGUCGGAAAUUCACUGAAGAAAGAGUUCCUUAUGAUAAGCAAGCUGAAGAAAGCUGAAGAAAGAGACAAGAUCUCGAGGAAAUUCACUACUGGAUGAAGCGAGGGUUCUAUAUAACUGUCUCUUUUUAAACAAACUUAUGCAUAUUCUUUCAUGUGCUGUAGAAAGGCCCCUCAACCUCGGAAACCUCACCAUGGACUGGGAACGAAGAAAGUGGGAUCUGAUGGUUGGCAUUGAAGGUGGCAAGCUGCAGAAGAAAGAUGGCGUUUUCAAAGUUGAAGGGCCUUUCUAGAGCACUGGAAUCCAUUCAUAAUUUAGCUUGAAAUCCCGAAACACAAGGCUUUUUGUGCAUAUUUAUAUAGACUUUUGCAGUAAGAUUAGCUUUAUUUUCCCUUUUACACUGCAAUCCAUAUAACAUUUCAAUGUUACAGCAUAACUUUGGUGCAGCAUAUAUAGAUACGUAUACGUUGCAAUUCAGGCUUUCUGCAAGACUGGUAUGAAUUUGUUUUUAGAAAUCCCUUUUUUUAUAAUCGAGUCCAGUUAUGCUAAGACUCCACUUUUAUGGGCAUUACCUUGUAAUUUCAUUUUUGUCACAUCAUAAUUUGGAUCUUUGUUACCAAGUUGGGCUGUAACUAUUUGCUGUUUGUGUUGCAUUUGGAUUAGUGGUUGAUUUGGACAAGCUCAACAAGUUAUUGUGUGGAUUACUCUAGUUUGAUUUUCUUGUUAUGCUUUUUGAGUAACGGAAUGGAAUAUGUCAUUCCAAUUUAUUGAAUAUUUAAAAUAACUUGGAGAAUUUCAUAAUUAAGAAAAUUCAAAAUUUCUUUUUGAUGAUUUAUGUAUUUUUCUCUUUUUUUUGGGGGGGNNNNNUUAAUUAAUUAANNNNNGGAACAGGCAAAGGUUGUAACAGACCCCGGCGCUUGAGUUGAAUAUUUAAUUUGCUGGCAAACAAGGCAAGCGGCUACAUGUUGCUCAACAUCUUUCCUCAUCUUAGGUCAAAAGAAAGUAGAUGAAAGAUGUACCAAUGUCUUUUUAAUACCAGCAUGUCCUGCCAUAGGUGUCUCGUGAAAUUCUUUGAGUAGCAUGGUUUUCAAUGAUGAGUGUGGGCUAAGAUAAUACCGGUGUCGAAAUAGCAGUAACCCUCCUUGAACUGAGAAAUCAGAAGUGAGUGAACCGGCUGCAUACCUCUGAUGGAGUUGCUUCAUAUCAGGAAUGGAGUCAUUUUCCUUGUGCAGAGCUGCCAAUAUUUCACUAGAAGGUUGACUUACCAACGAAAAACAAAGAGCUGUUGGUUUGGGUUCUUCAAUCACAUUUUCCUCAUGAAUUCGCGAUAAAGCAUCAGCAGCUUUAUUGGAGUUACCAGCUUUAUAAUCAAUUCUGAAUUGAUAACCCAUCAACUUGCGAAUGUAAAAUUACUGCUAUGGUGUGUGAAUAACUUGUUGAAACAAUUCCUUUACGUUUUUAUGGUCAGUGCAUAUAAAGAAAAAUCGGUCAAUGAGGUAUUGACGCCAUUUUUGAACUGCAGCGACAAUAGCAUAUAAUUCCUUCAAAUAUGUCGAGGAUGCACGCAUUCGAGGACCCAACUUUUUGCUAAAAUAAGAUAGAGGAUGCCCGGCUUACAUUAGCACAACACCGAUCCCAACAUUAGAAGCAUCGGUCUCAAUGACGAACUCCAAGGUAAAAUUCGGCAAGUGAAGUACAUGAGCUUCCACAAGGGCCUUCUUUAAUGCUUGAAAAGCUUGAGUAGCUGCAGGAUUCCAAUAAAAAGCCUCCUUACAAAGCAACUCAGUGAGAGGAGUUGCGAUGGUUGCGUAGCCUUGAAUAAAACGUCGGUAGUACCCGGUCAGCCCCAAGAACCCUCUCAGUUGCUUCACUGAUUUCGGUAAAGGUCAAUCCACCAUGGCUGUGAUCUUUUGAGGAUCCGCAUGUACUCCUCGAGCCGACACUAUAUGGCCCAAAUAAUCAAUUGAUUCCUGACAAAAUAAACAUUUGGAGAGUUUGACAUAAAAUUGAGAUGUGUAUAAACAACUCAUGACCUGCUCCAAAUGAUACACAUGAUCAACCAAUGAUGCACUAUAUACCAAUAUAUCAUCAAAAAAGACAAUAACAAAUUUGCGUAAAAAAAAAGCAAAUAGCUGGUUCAUUGUUGCUUGAAAAGUGGACGGCGCGUUGGUCAAACCGAACGGCAUAACAAGAAACUCGUAGUGUCCUUUAUGCGUGCGAAACGCUGUUUUAUAAGUAUCCCUCUUGUGAACUCUUAUCUGGUGAUAUCCGGCUCGUAGAUCAAGUUUGCUGAAAAUCCGAGCACCGCCCAGUUCGUCAAACAAUUCAUCAAUGGUGGGGAUGGGAAAUUUGUCCUUUACUGUCACCGCAUNNNNNUUAAUUAAUUAANNNNNGAAUGUAUAAUCUAUUUUCCCAAAAUAUCAACUUCGCGCCAUCCAAGAGUAGAAUAUCACACGAUUUACUCAAUUUUGUAGCUAGCAAGUCUAUAAGAAAUAAAGAAAAGAUUUAUCUUGCCUUAAAAAGAAAGUCAAUGAUCCUGAUAUUAUUAGCAUGUAAACAUUGACAAUAUUUUUACUAUUGUUUUAACUAAUUAGCGUGUCUUAAAAAAGGAAAACGUGUAUUUCUCAACAGUUUCUAUCAGCAAUUUCAAUCACAAUAUCAACGGUCAUCUUACAAUUGGUACGUUAUUGACUUUUCUUUUUUCUUGGGUGGGGGGUAAAUAUAGACCAUCUUUAUGAAUUUAGCGUCUUAUUAAUAAAUUAUUAAUUAUUAAUUUAUGCAGGAUUAAGUGGGUUCAGUAUGAAAUUACAGUGUUUUUUAAUGUAUUAAUUUAUUGAUUUAGUAUGCUGGUCCUAAAUUAAAAGUAACAAAUAAUAUUAUUUAAUCGGAGUUUUCAUUUUCAGCAGGAAAAGCACCCGUUUCCCCCUCAAAUUUGGGCAAUUGCUCAUUUUCCCCUUAUAUUUAAGAAAAUGCCUUGAUUGGUGGUAGAAGUCCAUUUAAUAUCUUUUUAUCAUUUUCCUUUGAAUAUUGUUGAUUUAAGAAGUAUUCCUAAUUAGUUAGCUGUCAAACCCAUGUCGUUGAGACAUAUAUGGGCUUGCUAUUAUACAUAUAUCUAUAUUUUUGGAACAAAAUACUGGAAAAUGAGGCAUUUUCUAUCACUUUAUUGCUAAUAGUUAUUUGUAAUGUCUUUAGUGAGAGAUGAAUUGCUACAAAUUGCAAUUCUCUUAUGUGUAGUUGUGAAAUACACUAAUGAAAUAAUUUUUGUUAGUUAUGCUUAUGUACACAUUUUCUUUUUAAAUUUCUUAGGCAUAUAGAUCCAAUAAUUUUCUAUUUUAUCAAAUUUUUUUCUUAAUUAGUGUCUAUUUAGUAUGCUUUAUCUAAUUGUCAUAAGUGCUUAUUUAUUCCGUAAGCUCUUAUAAAAAUCUUCUUUUUAUUAAUUACAAGUUUUAAAGAUUAAGUGCCUGUUUGGUAUGGCUUAUUUAAGAGCCAUAAGUGCUUAUUUAAUCGUAUAAGCACUUUUUAAAAUUUUUUAUAGUGUUUGGUUAUUUUUUUAGUAGAGUUUUUUUAGCUUAAAUAAGCUAAUUUACCUCUACUAAGGCUCCGUUUGGUACAGCUUAUUAAAUAUAGCUUAUAACAAUAGAGCUUAUAGCAGUAGAGCUUAUACCAAUAGAGUUUUUGGACAAAAAAUCAUUGGGUGUUUGGUUGUCAAUAAAAAAAAUACUUUUGAAUCAUUAAACUGUAUGAUAUUUUUUUUAUUAUAUAUUUUUUAGAUAAGCUCUCUAACCUCUACUCCCAAAAGCUUAAAUUUUGGGCUUUUGCUAGUAGAGGUAAAUUAGCUUAUUUAAGCUAAAAAAACUCUACUAAAAAAAUAACCAAACACNNNNNUUAAUUAAUUAANNNNNGCAAAAUUACAAAUAAUUUUAUAAGUUGCACCAAAAAAAUAUUUUGCGGAUAGCAUAAACUAAUACUAGAAUAACCAUUCGUUAACGAUGCGGGCAGCACCAUGAAGCGGUGAGCCCCGUUUGGUGAAAACAAAAAAAAAUUAAAAUUAAAACAAAGCACUAUAAAUUCUAAUCAAAUUGUUAACAUUAGCUAAAUACACAGCAAGAAGCCAGAAUAAAUUCGUUAUCUAAACCAAAUAAAAAAAAAAAAGAGGCAGUUUAGUCCCCAUCAUUUUCAGUUACAAACAAACUAAAGCACAAAUUAAGAACAAAGGUUGAAGCAAAGCAUGAUUGUACCUUGAGGUACUUGAGCUUAGUGUUCCCAUAAACGAGACCGAGCGAAAAAGCCGAAACCAGAGCAACCUAUUAUUAUUACUCAAAAAUCCAGAUCAGAAAAUAAAUGAUCUUUCAAUAACAAUUCAUAAGAACUCCAUCCCAUCGUAUAUAAAACAAAACAAAGAAAAUAUUGAAUUGAAAAAAAAUUACACACAUGGACUAAAAGAAGAUAAAAAUGGAAUUACCAGAGGGAGCUGGUGCCGGAGUAGGAACGAGGACGCAGCGCCAUAUGAUGCUUUGUCAUGCUUUUCCUUCUUGUGGGUCUGCGCCGAAGUCGAAGAUAAAGAAACAAGAAAGAGCUAGCAGCCUAGCACAUUGAAAAAUCGACUCAUAUAUUCGAUUCCGACUCGUAUGGCUAUUUUUAUUUGAUGAAUGAAAUAUUAUUUUACUCCCUAAUUUUUUUUACAAAAUUACAAGUUUUGACUUUUGUUCAUAUGUUCUUUUUUACAGGAUCCUAUUCUAGGAGGAAUAACAAAUAGGCCGGAUAUGUGGCUAAGCCCGAGCGUGUUGUUGAUUGCCAAUUUUAUUUUAAGUAUAAUUCUUAUAACACUUCACUUAUGUGAUCGUAAUUAUAUUGUACUGAAAAUUAUAUAAAGGAUAAAUAUGAAUUUAAUUAAACUAACAAGUCUUCACAAACUCGUGCAAACUUACUAUUUCUAAUCUUAAUAAGUGAUAUAAUUAAUUUUAUUGAUAAAGUCAAAAUAAUUUUUAACAAUGAAGAAAUAAGUUAUAAUAACAAUAAAUUUAUGACGAAAAAUGUUUACAAAAUUUAUUCUAAAUGAUAUGAAAUUUAAUUAAAAUUUUAUUGAAAUUUUAUGUCUUUUUUAAAAUUUUAUUAAAAAGUGGGAUUUCUUAAGAGUUUAAAAGGCGUGUUGGAGGCUUUACUCUUAUAUUUUUCUAGCUUUGAAUUUCAGUGGCCUUUACUUCGUUUAAAUUUUUGUUAUAAACCUGCAAGUAAGUGCAUUUAGGAUGCCUUUUGGUGAAGCUGGAUUGUAACAAUAAUUUUAUUUAUUAAAAUCAAUAAAAAAUUUAAUUAAUUAAAGUUUACGUAUCCUCUUGUCUAACCAAUCAAAUACUUUCUCUCAAGACAAUACCAGUGUGCUUAAAAAANNNNNUUAAUUAAUUAANNNNNCAAAUUUCUUAAUUUAUGCUUAUUACCAAUAUCAAUAUACAAAGUGGCGAACAUGGUGUAACAUAACUCAAAGCGAAAGAUAAUACAAAUACUAAAAUUUAGAAGUUAUUAUGUCAUCCAAUAUCAAAAGAUCACACAAAAUGCCUUAAAGUUUACUUUUUUAUUUUUUUAUUUUUUGGAAAAUUUUAAAAAACGAAUUUGUUCAAAACCAAGUUAGUAUGCUCUACACUUGCCUUUGUAUGAAGGAUCCUGUGUAUCAGAACACUUGAGACGGUCUUUUAGCUGUUUUCUUAUCUGGUUUGGUACCCGUUUUAAGCUAAGGAAAGCUGUUUUAGGGUUGUAUAACCUAGCAAAGAAAACUGGUUUUAAGAGUCUCAAGAUGACGCCUAGGGAAUGGGCGUGACUGUGGAGUUCUGGAAUAUUUUUUGUGAAAUCUGACUUUGUGGUGUUUCUUCGUGGAGGGACAAGUACAAUGCUUAGAGUCUUUGCACUUGAUUUCCAAGUAGGGUUUCUUGCAGGUUGAGGGUUCAAGUGGUAGGUCAUGGGAAAGACUCUCUCAGGAGUAUAAUCCCUUGGAGUAGUAGGGAAAAAGGACCCGAGAGGGUGAUAUGGUUCUGUGGGAAAAUAGGAUGGGGGAGCAGUGUGAACUGCUUGACGCCGUUGGUUGUCAGCAUCAAUUCUGGCAAUUUCAGCUUGAAGCUGUCUGAUUUCUUGCUCUUUUCGAGUGAACUCAUAAGAAUUAUCACCGCGGGCAAUCAUGGCUCGAAGGUCACGGUCAAGCUGUGCAACCUUAGCAUGAAGACUAUUAUACAAAUUGGUCAACUGGUCUGAGAGGGAAGUAACCCUUGUUUCAACAGCAGAGGAUCUGUGAGCGAUCUGAUCAACUUUAGAGUGUAAGGAAGUAAGAGAAGCAUUCUGGACUCCUUGACAUACGAAGAAAAAAGAGCAGAUGCUUCAUUUGCAAAAAGCUCGGACAUUUUGCUAAAGAAUGCCCUAAGAACCCUAAGCGGUCUCAACGCUUAGUUCAACAGCUUCAGUCCUUACAUCAGUUCUCUCCUGAUACUGACCAAAUUGAGUUUCUAUACUCUGAACAAGAAAGUCCUGACCCGGAUACAGUUUUUGCCCUUGGCACUUCUGAUUCAGAUUCAGAUUCAGCUUCAUCUACUGAACCAGAAGACUAUUCCCCUGUCUUCCACAUCCGGUCAGUACCUUCAUCCUCCACUCAAUUGUCAGUUCAACCCAUUCCUUCCGUCAAAAUCCAAAUCCUGUUAUCCAAAUACAGUCGGCCCAUUCCUGCUAUUGCCUUCAUAGAUACUGGCGCUCAGCGCAGUAUUUUAAACCCUGCUAUUUUGCCGCCUGAAACCUGGAUUUCAAAUGAAAAUCAUUUCCGUGCUGCUAGUGGAAAAUUGUUUUCUACAAAGCUCCGCACCAAGUCUAGAAUUGGAAUUCAGCUAUUCCCAAAGCUCACAGUUUGGACCCAUGUNNNNNUUAAUUAAUUAANNNNNUGCUGUAACAUCUAAUGAAUCAUCUGAUGGAGGCUAUCAAAGUGCAGACUUGCCAGUGGCAUCGAAUGGAAAGAUUGAAAGUCAGUGGGUUCUAGACUCUAGUUGUUCUUUCCAUAUGAGUCCUGAUAAAACCCUUUUUCAUGAGUAUGAAACUAUAGAUGGAGGUAGGGUCUUAAUGGGAAACCACAAUGCUUGUAAAAUUGUGGGAAUUGGUUUUGUUAAAAUCAGAAUGUAUGAUGGAACCACAAGGACCCUAGAGCAUGUUAGGCAUGUACCACGAUUAAAAAAAUAUUGAUAUCCUUAGGCAUGUUAGAUAGCUCAAGAUAUAUCUUUAAGUCUGACCAUAAGGGCUUAAAGGUAAUGAAAAACUUCAGUAUAGUAAUGAAGAGGGUUAAGAAAAAUGGAUUGUAUGUGCUGGAAGGGUCAUCAGUACCUGUGUUGUCUGCAUUGCAUGUGUUUAUGAUGUAGAUAAAGCCAAGCUAUGGCAUCUCAGACUUGGGCACAUGAGUGCCAAAGGCUUACAAGAACUAAGUAAAAGGGGGCUGUUAUGUAGAGAUAAGGUUGAAGAGCUGAAGUUCUGUGAAAAUUGCAUCUUUGGGAAGGCUCACAGAAUGAAGUUUGAAAGGGGAAUGCAUAAAUCCAAAGCUGUAUUGGAUUAUGCACACUCUAAUCUAUGGGGGCUUGCUCAAGUGCCAUCUCUAAGUGGUGACCGAUAUAUUGUAAUAUUCAUAGAUGAUUUUUCAAGGAAAGUCUGGUUAUACAUUCUCAAGACUAAAGAUCAAGCUUUUGAGAAAUUCAAAAUAUGGAGAGCUUUGGUUGAGAAUCAGCCUGAAAUGAAGUUGAAAGAAUUGAGGAACGAUAAUGGACUCAAAUUUUAUAAUAAAGAGUUUGAUGAGUAUUGUCAGAAGCAUGGAUUAGCUGAGAGGAUGAACAGACCCCUCAUUGAUAAGACAAGAUGUCCGCUCAUAAACUCCAAGCUACCAAGAAGCUUCUGGGCUGAAGCUGUAACCACAGUCUGCUACUUGGUUAACAGGAGUCCCUCUACAGCUCUCAAGUUUGAGACUCCUGAAGAAGUCUGGACUGGUGUACCUGCAGAUUACAAACAUCUGAGAAUCUUUGGAUGUAUAGCCUAUUUGCAUGUCAAGCAAGGGAAGCUGGAUUCAAGGGCUCUGAAAGGGGUGUUUGUGGGAUAUCCUGAGGGAGUUAAGGGGAAUAAGGUGUGGUGUGGUGCCACUCAUAAAUGUAUCAUCAGUAGAGAUGUUACAUUUCAUGAGGAAGCUAUGCUGGAGGAUAAAGACUCUAUUGUCUUUGACUUCAACCUUUAUACUGAUGAAUCAAUUAAGGAAGCUGCAGUAGUAAAAGAUUCCAUAAUUGAGGUGGAGUCAACCAACAGCAGUGAUAGAGGGGAUCAAUAUGUAGGUGCUACAGAUGAUUUUCAAGAAAGGUCUGAAGUGACUGAUUCAAGAACUUCAGUGUUUGAGCNNNNNUUAAUUAAUUAANNNNNAAAACUUUCUAAAAUUAUGAUAUGGCCCCAAAUAUAUUAUUAUUUCUCAAAGAGGUCCUUCUCAAAAUUUAACAUAAUACCCAUAUUUUUCAAAGUUCUCGAAACUUUCACUUUAGUCCAAAAUGUUCAUAAAUUAUAGUAUGGCGCAAAACAUUUCAAAUAUUUGCAAAAAGGUCGAACUCCGAAAUUCAAAAUAAUACUAAUUAAAACCAAAGAUUGAAAAACUUUUCAUUUAAGUCCAAAUUAUUCAAAUCCACAAAAUACUCUAUCUUAUAAAAAUAAAACCUUUUAGUUUAUGAAAAGUAAUUAAUUAAAUUAAUUUAUUGAGCUUCUCAAAUGCUAAAUCAUGCAUCAAUUAAAUCAUACCGGCUUUACAAGAAUUUAUCGCAAUAAUUUAUCCGUUGAGCUCUAAACUUUAUUCUUGAUUUCGCUGUUGUCCGUUGAGUGUCUUGAGCUUGAUUUCACUUGAUUCACUUGCAUAAAUAUUACCCUUAAAAAACUAGUGAAAAUGUGAAAUACAAUAUUUAUUAAAUCACUUAAUACACAUGUUUGUUAUCAUUAAAAUUACAUUAGGUGUAGCCCUUUAGGCUAACAUUAUCUUGGACGGCAACAUGUGCGGUGGCAGUGAUAGGUGGUUUUUGAGAGGAAUAUCGAUGGUGUAGCUAUUGUUUUGGACGUUAUGGCAGAGAGGUUAUUAGUGUGUGGGGAGGUUCCAACAUUGGUAAAGCACUACCACCAGCGGAGUAUGAAGCCAUAAAUGUUGGUCAAGGUUCAAUCAUUGGUGUCUGGAUCUCCUUCAUCUUUGGGUAGGAAAUUCGGUUUCACGUUGUUUAAAUCUUUAUGUCUUCAGUAUCCAUUUCUUAUAAGUAUAAAGAAUAUACAAGUGUUAAUAAUAGUGUGAAUGACAAACAAAGAAUGAAUAACCACGGAAAAUUUUAUCUAACUCCUAUUAGAGCGGAACAUUUUAGAGGGCAAGUAAAGCCAAACCCAUACAAACACAGCACAACAAAUUGCCCACUCGUGAAGGUGGUGUGUGGGACUUCCGUGCCAAUUUCCAGAUCACAUAUGGCUACGAACCACCACCAUUUAGUCCAUAUGUGGUUUGGAUUUGCAAUUGGAGAAAGAGAUGAAUCAUGCACCACCCUAGAAGGAGUGGUGCUCAUGUGACUGUUCACUUUCUUCUUUGAAAAUUUUACAAUCCCUAGCUCGCAGUUCAAAUGGCCAUAACUUUCUCUUUAUAAGUCUAAAUUGCACAAAUAAUAUACCACUAGAUAGGUCUCGAAAAGCACUUGUUUAUAUGAAACGACCAGCCCCGAACUCUAGGGUGAGUCUGUCUAACCUCAUCCAAACUAGAUUGAUAAAAAUCUAAUUAGUAAGGAUUCUGCUGAAAAUUCGGCAAAGUCUCCUUUAUAUAUAUAACACUCCCAAUCUGAAAAUAUGUAAAACAAACACUCCCAAAAUAAUUCAAUAUACAACAAACNNNNNUUAAUUAAUUAANNNNNCAGCACAGGUCACAGCCAACUGAGCCAAGUACCAACUCAAACUGUCAAAUUGACAAUAACAAAAGACACAGGACUCAGCGAGCACGAGCAGCAGAGCAAAAGAAAAAUGCCAAAACCAGCUUCAUCCCGUCAUCCAUCUUGAACCCAUUAACAAGUAAUGACCAUGCCAAAACUCAGCUGCCGCCGGCCCGCUGACACCAAUCGAUUGGAAGUUACCCGAUUUCGACUGAAACCCAGGCGAACAGAACCCAAAUAAUCGACCUAAACCCAGCUGACAACUGCCUCUUCAACCAUUGAACUGAUCACGUCCAGCGCCGGCCAGUUGCCACGCCAAACACCGAUAAUCCACUUCCACUAUUCCCGAGCACCUAGCAACUUUAUUCAUGGUAAGCAAUUAUACCCGACCCAUGACAAUUGAAAGUUAACACAACUCACUUAGAAUUUCAUGCUUCUUUUCGACUUUUAGGGUUUUUUUAAUUGCAUUGCGGCCUUGUGGGUAAGUUGGUAACUGCUUGGAAAAUAAAAAUCCGAGAGCAAACCCGAGAGCAAGCGGCUAGCCGCUUGGGGGCAAGCGGCAACUGCCCCCAAACCCGAGAGCAAGACAUGAAUUGUUUUGUUUUUUCCUUUUAUUUUUUCUAAUGUAUGAUUAUUCAUUUGUAAUAUUAGUUGAGAAAGACAUUUAUUAAUUAUUAAAUAAUCAUCAUUAUUUAAUGUAUGAUUAUUCAUUUAUAACAUUAGUUUAUUAAUUAUUAAUAAACUAAGGAACAAUAUCAAUUCUUUAAAAUUAAAAAUUCAACUUCAUACCGUACAUUGUGGUAGUAGAAUUAUUUUAUGAUAAGUUAAUGUCAUUAAUUGCUUUAUUUCCAAAUAAUAAUUUGAUGAAUGAAUUUGUAUAGCUAGUAAGCUAGGCUGAAGAGAUUAUAUAUAGUCAAAAGUUAUAUUUAUUUUUUAGUUGAAAAUUCAUAAACGGAAGUUACAGAACAAUGAUGAUUGAUAUGAUUUUUGUAUUUUCAGAUGACUGGACAUUCAAAAUCAAAUUCCAAUGAUGAUGGUGAAGUUGAAAGUGUACAAGUACCCACAGAAAAGACAAAUACAAAGCGGAAGAAUCCAACUCAGAGACGACCAAUGAAGAAAAUAUCCGAGACAUGGAAUCAUUACACUGUACUUGAGGACAAUCAAUAUAAAGCAAAGUGCAACUAUUGUGGCAAGAUAUAUCAGUGCCAUCCUAGGUUUGAUGGGAUUAGCAAUAUGGGAACUCAUUUAAAAGUAUGUGAAGCAUACUUGAAUGUGAAGCGAGAGCAAGAUGAAAGACAACAAAAAUUAGCAGCCGAGAGUGGUGAAGGAAAUGCAAGUAAUAUGGUUUUGGCCAAAGGAUGGAGUCAAGAAGCUUGUAGAAGGGCAGUCAGUAAAAUGAUUAUCUUGGGCGAGUUGCCGCUUAAUUUUGUUGACAACAAAGGGUUUAGGCAUUUUUGCAAUGUAGNNNNNUUAAUUAAUUAANNNNNAGAAAAGUCUGGCCAACAUCAACUGAAACUGCACUCUGGGAAUUCAUCAGCCUUUGGUGCUGUGAAAGCCAUGUGUUUGUCCUCCAAGGGAAUGGGCUGAAAAAGCCAUGUAGAAGCUACAUCCAUAGUCUCUUGGUUUUGAGCACCGUGCCCAUCUCCGUGUAGAUACAUAAAAUGGGACAUUCUCACAAGAUUCAACAUGAAGUCAACUGUAUUUUGAGAUACGGGAGAAUCUUUAUCAGCUCUGUAUGCAUUCACCUUCCUCCACAUCUGUCUCAUCAUAUCCUUGAUGUGUUCACGAGCAACUUCCUCCGAGGCACCAGUUUCAUGCAUGUAACACUGGAUUGAUUUAGGAACAUCCCCUCUCUGUAUCUCAUCCUGAUGAAUUAUUGGGGAAAAAAAAUACACAAUCAAUUCGUAUAUAGAGGAUUAAUUCAAUUUCUAUCUUCUUAAGAAUCAAAAGAAAAUAAAAGAAAACAUACCGACGAAGUUCCCAAAUCAUCUUGAAGACGAAAAAUCUUGCAUGACCAGUGAACGAAAUCUGGAUUGCUUUCUAGAAAUUCUAGUUCCUUCUGAAUGAUUGGAUUUGUACCAGAAAGGUACGCACUCAUUGUUACUAUAGGGCCUGCUACUGAUACCAAUCCAUUUUCCAAGAAUUCUCCCAGUGUUGGUGUGUACUUACUAUGGUACCAUUUCGCCUCCACUAAGCCGGCUUGUAUUAAGCCAAGCCACUAUGCACAUGACAUAGAAAAUAAAGCUAGUUACAAUUUAUUAUUUUUGAGACAAAAGCAUCGUAAUUUAAAAAGGAUAAAUCAAAGGAACGGAACGGCGGGAGAGGUGAAAUUAACAUUUUACAUACUGAAUUUUUAAUACUCCGAAGCAUAUCAAAAUGCUGUUGUUUGAGUACGUAAUAAGCAAAUUCAUUAACAAAGUGGUAAAGCGCAAAAAAACACAAUUUCAUGUAGUCCGGAAGGUGGUUCAAACAUAAUGGAUGUCCCACCUGUAGAAAAGAGAAAAAAAAUAUAUUAUAAAUGGUCUACUAAUUUGAGAAGUAGCAGGCAGCUAGCUAGCAAUUGAAUUAAUCGAUUAGAUAUAACAUUAGUUUGCCAACAAACCUCUCAACAGCAGCAGUGAAUAGCUCAAGUUCGUCCAAAGUUCCAUAAACAUCAUAUAUGUCAUCAAUCACUGUAAUUAGAGCUAUUGCAAUUGUGACUAUUCUCCUGCAAUAGGCGAAUUGAGGCUCAGACCCUACCCCCAUGCUCCAUAAGAAGGAUGCUACCAAGCUGUCCCUCGCAAAGCUCAAUUUCUCUCCAAGACCUGUAUCCUUCCACUACCUUGAUAAGGAAAUUGAAACGAAUAUUACGAUACAUGUUGUAUAUAUCUAUAUAUAUAGAGUCAGCUUUUCAUCUGGAAUUCUGAAGAGUCUUUCUGUAAUGCAGACAAUAGCACUUUAUAAAGUGUAUAAGGGCUUUACAAUAGNNNNNUUAAUUAAUUAANNNNNUAAAAAUUUAGGUUAAAUUUUGAAGGAGUAGAUUCGGUUGUAAAGUAGUUUUUUUUAGCAAUUAUUAACAAUUAUCCGAUAAAUGGGAUGACAUGUCAUUUUUAUCAAUAUAUAUCAUAUGAUAUGUCAUGUUUUACUAGGUAAAUGGGAUGACAUGUCUUUUUUUAAUCAAAGUUUCAUCAAUCUUAAAAAACUAGAUUACCCUUAGAAUGUCAGCGUUUGCAAACGGAAGUUAACAGAUUAGUGGACGGCAGAAGUGUUUUGUCAACUUAGGAUAUAUAAGUGAUACACUUGAAAAGUGUUCACACACGUUUGAUACGGGUGUCAUUGUUACUGUUCACAUGACGUACUUUCACAGUGACGGUACGUAUGACGUUCGUACGCAAUUCAUAGACGAUCGAUGACAGUGGCAUUGACCGAUGAUGUGGCAUUGACUGAUGAGGUGACACGAUCCUGUUGGGCUAAAAUUCUUAUGUACUGUUGAUGGUGACGUGGCAGCAUAUCAGUGGAUAAAAAAUCUCGCGUACGGUACAUGCAUCACAUAGGAUUAUUUUCAACCAAACCGCGUCUAGUGUUCACCGGUCAAACCGGUUACUGUUUCAUCCCGGAGUCAAACCGUGUUACUGUUCAUCCGCGUGGUCAAACCGUGUACUGUUGACUGAUGACGUGGCGCAAUCCUGAGCUGUCCAAACUGUUUUUAAUCCGAUGCCAUGAUUUACUCCAUGUAUCUAUAAAAAGGGGGCCUCCCCCCCUCUAAUUUGAUAGCUCUGAAUCCAUUUUUGGGACCAUUUUCUGUAAUUCCUCUCCAUCUUUGUAUUUUCUUGAUUAAUCUUGCCUAGUUCUUAUAUACUAAUUUCCUUUUUGCCCCUGGUUCAAUUAUGAGUGGCUAAUUUUCCUUUCAAGCUUGGGUUGAAGGUGAAGUCUCAACAUUGUCAUGGGCUUUAUUUGAUAAAUUUAUUUUCUCUUCCCCUCUAGUUUUUGUGGAUGUUUUGACUUCUCGUCGACAAAUAAUAAUAACUAAUCUUGUCUAGUACGCGACCAGGGGCGCUUGGUUUCACCGGCCCUCUAGUACAAGGUUAUUAUUAUUUGGCACGAUAAGCCCUUAGCACCAUAUUGAUUAGAGCGUGGUUCAUGAGGUGUGGAUUCCCCCUUCAUGAUUUAAUUGGCAUUAUAAGGAUUAUAUAGCCCAUGAUGCAUGUUGAUACGGAUCCGGAUACCCAAGUGCUUCAUUUCAAUAGAUCUUCUUCAAUUUAUUCUCGCCAUUCAAUUCCAAUUUUGUUUAUUCUCGCCAUUUAAUUUAAGUUUUAGCAUAUUCCAAAUCAUUUUCACCACAAAUCCAAUCCCCCAUUUACAAAAUUAAUUCUAUACACAAUUAAAAUCCACCUCCUCGUGGGAUCGACACUCGUCACCAUUGAUCUAUAUCUACAAUAGAUUCGUGCGCUUGCGAGUUCAUUAAAAUUUGCACAACAAUACUCUUANNNNNUUAAUUAAUUAANNNNNCUAAGUGGCUUUGCUCUAAAUGUCCUAACUGUGUAAGACUUGCUUGUAAUACACCACAACUUUAGGAAUAGUUUCUAUAAAUCAUGAAGAUAAAAUCAAGUUUGUUAAGAAUGGCAUGAGUAAAUAAUUGUUAGAUGAUAUCUUACGAUAUCUUGAGAUGCAUCCGAACGAAUAUGUGGUAAGUGAGAUUCAUAAUUUAUGGAAGUUGUUCCAAAUAGAAAGUGUAAAGUUUAGUCUUAGGAAUCUGACUCCAAAACCAAAUGGUAGGGGUGUUCAGAAUCCAAUCCAAUCCGCUCAAUCUGUCUGAUCCGUGAAAAUUCGAUCUGUAUAAAUCCGAUUCGUGGAUCUGUGGAUUGGAUAUGGAUUGAAAUUUUAAAAAUUCGCAAUCGAUGGAUUGGAUAUGGAUUUACUUCUAUAAAUCGGUAAAAAUCCGUGAAUCCGCAAAUAUAUAUAUAUAUAUUUAUAUAUAUUUAUGUAGUUAAAAAAUUAUUAUAAAUUUAAUUAAAGAAUAUUAUAAAUGUGACAUUACAUAGUUACAUAAGCACUAUAACAUAUCUUAGCCAUUACCCAAUAAUAAUAUUAAACAAAAAAUAAUUAAAUAAUCAAAUAUACAAAUAUAACUUGUAAAAAUUGUAAAACAAAAUAAAAGUAAAGUCACACGCACUAGCAAAAGCAAAGUAACAUAACGUCAAGUUACUAACAAUUUGCAAAGUCACCCAAAAACAAAGUAACGUAACGCCAAGUCACCAACAAUUUGCAAACAAAAAGCCUAAGCUUCCCCGUCGUCACACGCACUAGCAACACCCAAUACUGAUUCGAUAUACACUCGACACCGAUUUGUAGGAUGUCGGCCGCAUGAUUCUAGCGAGAAAGCAAUCUUCUUCCCUGAGUUCAUCAAGCCACUUCACAAUCACUAGUUCCAGCCAAACAAUUGUACUAUCACAACCUUCAAGAUCGCCACCCGUACUUCUCUUGUUUCCCAUCGUUGACGGCUCCGUAAUCACCACUUUUCGACAAGUGCAAUGGCCCUAGUGAAGGAUCAGACUGUGUUUAGUUUAAAAAACUUCACCAUUUCAUUUAAUUGUGGCUUUCUUUGAACAAUUAAUUUCAGUGUUAUAUUAAUGUAUUAUUGUAACUUUAUUUGAACAAUUAAUCUUAGUGUGUUAUAUUUUGAAACUUUAAACGUAUUAUUGUAGCUUUAUUUGAACAAUUAAUCUCGAUGUGCUAUAUUUUGAAACUUUGAAUGUAUUAUUUUAGUUUUAUUUAAACAAUUCAUUUGUUUAAAUUUUAUUCAAUUUUAAAUUUAAUUGGUAGUAAAAUUAUUUUUAUGUUGGAUUUUUUUUUAAUUUCAUUAGUUCAUGGAUUAGGGAGAACUAAAACUUUUUAAUUUGGAAACUAAUGCGGAAAAUGGUGAAUUAGAUAUGGAUUAAGUUAAAUCCGCAUCCGAUCUGCAGACGUAUGGAUUGGAUAUGGAUUGANNNNNUUAAUUAAUUAANNNNNCUAGGGACAUAUUUGUAAAUAAAAUAAAAACUCUAUUAUUAUAUAAAUUGAUGAAAACAUAAGGGUGAUUGAGUUAGGGACAUAUUUGAAUAUAAAAUAAAAAUUAUAUUGUUAUACUAAAUUGAUAAAAAUAUAAGGGUAAUUGAUUUAGGGACAUAUAUGAAAAUAAAAUAAAAACUUUAUUAUUUUACUAAAUUGAUGAAAAAGUAAAGGGCAUAAACGAUUUUUUCUGGACUAGAUUUAGCCCACGUGUAGAUCCGCCACUGUAGAGAGUGAUUUCUUUAUCUCUACCUUAUUCCUCAUAUAUUUUUUUUAUAAUAGAUAUAUAUACAUGAUUUCAAUAAAUUAAAAAUUAAAGAUUUAAAUAAAAUCAUUACCAUAUUAUAAAGUAUUUAAAUUAUUUUAAAAAAUCUCCAAAUGUUUGAAACAAUAUUUUGAAAUUAUAUCAAAAUUGAAAAAUGUUUGAAAAGAGCAAUAUUUUGAGAGAGAAAAAAAAACACAACAAUGUUUUAGAGUUGAAUAAAAAUUAUAUUGUAGGAUUUUCUUUUAGUUAUAACCCAUUUAUAUCAAGUAAAAAUGAAAAGAAAAUUUAUUAACUAAUAUUGUAAUUGAUAAAAUAAAAACUAAUAAAUAAAAAUUAGAAAAAUAUUUUUAUAUAAUUGAGAUUGUAGUGGGGGUGAGGUGGUGAGUACAAAAUUAAACCUCACUCUAUUAAGAAUUUGAGAAUUAAUUUUUUCUCUUUUCUUAUCCCAAAAAUUAUUUAAAAUUUACUCAUUUAAGACGGAGCCUCAUAAAACCCCAAACCUAUGAAAAACCUAUGAAAAAUUUUACCAUCCCUAUCCGUGGACAUCAAUGUUAGCUUAGAGGGCGGGCUUCAUUCGAUGUACUAGUCUAAUGGUGACCACUCCUCCAAUAAAAACUUUUAAAAAGAUAUAAAAUUAAUGGAAAUAUAGGUAUAAUCCAAUUUUCCAACGCAAGAUUCGAUCUGGGGGAUUAUUUAACAUUGUUGUUUUGCUCUGGAUUGAUACUGUGCAUGUCGCGUACUACUAGUCCUAUAAUAAUUUUUAAUUAAUAAUUAAAAAAUAAAUAAUUGACUUCAACCUAUUCCAUCCAUAUAGACUAGUUAUUUUUUAACAUUUGGUGGAAGUUUCAUGGCAUGUUAGUCAAAAGUGCUACACUUCAGGAUUUGGUUAUAAUAUAGGUUGAGUGUUGAUAUAAGCAUUUUUUUUUUUUAAAGUAUGGAAUUCUUAUUCAAAAUGGAACAUCAUAAUUAUUGAAUUCUUAUAUCAAAUUUAUAAUAUAAAAACAUUACAUGUCUAUGGUUAGUAAUUAUAAAUAAAUUCUACCAAUUACAAUAUUUAGGUUUUAAAAAUGUGUUGAGAGUUUUCCAAACAUAUUUUACAACUUCUUAUGUUGCAUCCAUAUUGGUAUAUUUUAUUAAUUAUUUAUUAAAAAAAAUACUUCCUCAUUUANNNNNUUAAUUAAUUAANNNNNUUGAAGGCCGGGACGCCAAGUUCGUCCUGCGGAAAAGGGCCACAAAUACGGGUGGGCUAUAGCCAUGGGGGGUGGGGCCGGCCGACUUCGUCCGCCGGACUCGGAAUGGCGCGAGACUUUCCGAGGCACCUCCGUGUGCCAAAAAUAGGCCGCGGGCACAGCCGCGCCCAAAAAUCACUGCCCAAAGGCCGGGGCGCCAAGUUCGUCCUGCGGAAAAGGGCCACAAAUACGGGUGGGCUAUAGCCAUGGGGGGUGGGGCCGGCCGACUUCGUCCGCCGGACUCGGAAUGGCGCGAGACUUUCCGAGGCACCUCCGUGUGCCAAAAAUAGGCCGCGGGCACAGCCGCGCCCAAAAAUCACUGCCCAAAGGCCGGGGCGCCAAGUUCGUCCUGCGGAAAAGGGCCACAAAUACGGGUGGGCUAUAGCCAUGGGGGGUGGGGCCGGCCGACUUCGUCCGCCGGACUCGGAAUGGCGCGAGACUUUCCGAGGCACCUCCGUGUGCCAAAAAUAGGCCGCGGGCACAGCCGCGCCCAAAAAUCACUGCCCAAAGGCCGGGGCGCCAAGUUCGUCCUGCGGAAAAGGGCCACAAAUACGGGUGGGCUAUAGCCAUGGGGGGUGGGGCCGGCCGACUUCGUCCGCCGGACUCGGAAUGGCGCGAGACUUUCCGAGGCACCUCCGUGUGCCAAAAAUAGGCCGCGGGCACAGCCGCGCCCAAAAAUCACUGCCCAAAGGCCGGGGCGCCAAGUUCGUCCUGCGGAAAAGGGCCACAAAUACGGGUGGGCUAUAGCCAUGGGGGGUGGGGCCGGCCGACUUCGUCCGCCGGACUCGGAAUGGCGCGAGACUUUCCGAGGCACCUCCGUGUGCCAAAAAUAGGCCGCGGGCACAGCCGCGCCCAAAAAUCACUGCCCAAAGGCCGGGGCGCCAAGUUCGUCCUGCGGAAAAGGGCCACAAAUACGGGUGGGCUAUAGCCAUGGGGGGUGGGGCCGGCCGACUUCGUCCGCCGGACUCGGAAUGGCGCGAGACUUUCCGAGGCACCUCCGUGUGCCAAAAAUAGGCCGCGGGCACAGCCGCGCCCAAAAAUCACUGCCCAAAGGCCGGGGCGCCAAGUUCGUCCUGCGGAAAAGGGCCACAAAUACGGGUGGGCUAUAGCCAUGGGGGGUGGGGCCGGCCGACUUCGUCCGCCGGACUCGGAAUGGCGCGAGACUUUCCGAGGCACCUCCGUGUGCCAAAAAUAGGCCGCGGGCACAGCCGCGCCCAAAAAUCACUGCCCAAAGGCCGGGGCGCCAAGUUCGUCCUGCGGAAAAAGGCCACAAAUAUGGGUGGGCUAUAGCCAUGGGGGGUGGGGCCGGCCGACUUCGUCCGCCGGAAUCGGAAUGGGGCGAGACUUUGUGAGACGCCUCCGUGAGCCAAAAAUAGGCCGCGGGCACAGCCGCGCCCAAAAAUAACCGCUUGAAGGCCGGGGCGCCAAGUUNNNNNUUAAUUAAUUAANNNNNCCAAUUCAGGAUGCUGUUGCUACCCUGAUAUUGACUAUUUCUCUCCACUUCAUAGGUGACCCUUCUCACCUUAGAGACAAAAAUGCUGAGUUACUACACAACUUGAGGUGUAGGAAACUUAGUGAUUUCAAUGACUACAAAACCACUUUCUUUACCAGACUUUUCCUAAGGGAUGAUGCAAAUCAUGUAACUUGGAAGGAAAAUUUCCUUCCAGGUUUACCUACCCUUUUGGGAGAAAAGGUAAGGAACUCUAUCAAAGCCCUUUUUAAUAAUCGUAUUCCUUAUGACGAACUCACCUAUGGUGAAUUAGUCAGUUUUGUCAACAAAGAAGGUUUAAAGAUCUGUCAAGACUUGAAACUUCAGAAACGUCUAAAACAAGAGCUUAGGCAAUCUAAGCAAGAAUUAGGCGGGUUCUGCAAGCAAUUCAAUUAUGACCCCUUUAAAGCUUCCACUUCCAGAGACUGUAAUGGUAAGUGUUCUUCAAAACCUUACAAGAAACAUUACAAGUCCAAAAGCCAUAGAAAACCCUUUCAUGAUUUUAGAAAACUCCCUUAUAAGAAACCUUCGAGGCCUUAUAAGAAACAUAGUUUCUCUAAAAAGAAAGAGUUUAAAACCAAACCUAAAACCCCGUUUAAUUUCAAAGAUGCUACCUGUUUCAAAUGUGGUAUGAAAGGUCAUACUGCACGUUUUUGUAAAAUGAACAGAAGACUCCAAGAGCUUGGUCUCGAGGAAGAAAUCCUUUCAAAAAUAGCCCCUCUUCUGGUCGGAUCUUCUGAUUCUGAGUCUUCCUGGUCGGGUGAUAAUGACCCCCUCCAAGUUGAUGAACUAUUCGAUUCAGAUAGCUCUGCAUCUAGCAAUAGUGAUUCUGAUUCGGAUAAUUCUUAUUUAAAGAAAAUCAAUGUUUUGACAAAAGAUCAAGAGAUUUUCCUUGAACUUGUAAAGCACAUUUCUGAUCCAAACCUUCAAAAAGAAUAUCUUGAUAAGCUUUUAAAAACCAUGGAUUCAAGCAACACAGAAGCUUGUUCUUCUAAAAUCCCUAUUGUCAAAAAGAAUUCUUAUGAUUUAACUGAGAUUUUGGAUAAAAAGAAAGCAAAGAAGUCUACUCCUAAUAUCCAAGACCUCCAAAAGGAGAUUAAGGAUAUUAAACUUAAAAUAAAGGAUUUAAAAGAAAAACAAAAAACUGAUUCUGCAACUAUUCAACUCCUUUUACAAAAACAGUUGCAAGAUACUUCCGAUAAGGAGGUUGAAUCAGAAAAUGAUGAUGUUGAACAAAAAAUUGAUAAUCUUGAGUCAAUUCCAAAUGAUUUUUUGUUUGUUUUAAAACAAAUCACCACCAGAAAAUAUUUGAUUAAGAUUGCUUUAAUUUUUUCAAAUGAUUUUGCGAUGGAUGCCAUUGCUCUUUUUGAUACUGGUGCUGAUUUAAAUUGUAUUCGUAAAGACAUUGUCCCAAAAAGAUUUCAUGAGAAAACNNNNNUUAAUUAAUUAANNNNNGACAAAAACUAGAGGGGAAGAGAAAGUAAAUUUACCAAUUAAAGUCCAUGACACAUGUUGAGACUUCGCCUUCAACCCAGGCUUGAAAGAAAAUUAGCUACUCAUAAUUGAACUAGGGGCAAAAUGAGAAUUUAUUAAAAUACAUAGAAAAUACAAGAUAGAGAAGGAAUUAUAGAAAAUGGAGCCUAAAAAUGGAUUAAGAGGUAUCAAAUUACGGGGGGAGGCCCCCUUUUUAUAGAUACAUUGAGUAAAUCAUGGUCAUCGGAUUAAAAGCAGUUUGGACGCUCAGGAUUGCGCCACGUCAUCAAUCAACAGUACGCGGUUUGACCACGUGGGUUGAACAGUGACAUGGUUUGACCCGGCUUGAACAGUAACGCAGUUUGGUUGAAAAUAAUCCUGUGUAUAUGCAUAUACCGUACGCGCAAUUUUUGGUCCACUAACAUGCUGCCACGUCACCCAUCGACAGUGCAUAAUAAUUUUAGUCCAACAGGAUCGUGACACCUCAUCAGUCAAUGCCACAUCAUCGGUCAAUGCCAUGUCAUCGAUAUGUCUAUGUGAACAGUAUCAUGAACAGUAACGUAGACAGUACCGUACAUGUGAACAGUGUCAUUUUUCCUUUUAUGCUCCUCCUAAGGUUUUCGACCGUCCUGAGUUCAAAAGUGAUGUCCGUUUUGCCGUCUGAUCUCUCAUUCAUUAUGAAAUGACUAUGAUGUCCCUAAAAUACAUAAAAUACUUAAUUAUAAUACAACACACAUAAUUAAAUGACAAGAAGCUUAAAUACAUAAAAGUAAGGGUGUUAGUAAAACUUGAAGUGUAAAAUAACGAUUUUCUCCUUUAUAAAUAUACAUUUUCUAACUCUCAACAGCUAUAUAUUGGCUUCAAUUUCUGUGGAAUUGCAUAAGAAACAUCGGAGCACGGAAACAACCACUAAAAUAAUGGCUAGUCUUCAUCAGAUGUUUGGGCAGAAUACUCAUUUUGCCAGAGAAGCAGCGUUGAAAUGUAUUACGGAUACUAAGAUGGAAGAGGGCACAAGAGUUCGUGAUCAUGUCCUCAAAAUGAUGGACUAUUUGAAUGAAGUAGAGAUUCAUGGUAUUCAAAUUGAUGAUAAAACAAAUAUUAACAUGGUGAUUGAAUCAUUGCCUGAUACAUUCAAAUAGUUUAAGGUCAGCUAUAUCUUAAACAAUAAAGAUAUGACCUUAAUUGAAUUAAUGCACGAACUACAUGCUAUAGAAGAAUUUUAUCAUAGCAAAAAUCUUCCUGAAAAAUGAUUAUCUUCAAGGCUUAAGUCGAAAGACAGGAAUAAGCAAGAAAGAGUUAGGAUUGGCAAACUGUCCACUAAAAGAAGUGGAAAGUCAAAAGGCAAGUGUUACAAAUGUGGACAGAAGGGUCAUUGGAAGAAAGAUUGUCCUAAGAUUAUUAAAAUCAGGUAUAUGAAAUCUUUAAGCUUCCUAAUUAGUUCAGAUUNNNNNUUAAUUAAUUAANNNNNUUAUCGUCCUUCUCCUCCAUUUUCUUUAAUUUCUCCGAUUAAGCUUGGUGGGUGACGAGUGUGGGGCGGCAAAUAUAAAAUGAAUCAUAGCAUUGUCGUAUUCUCAUCGACCAAUUGAAAGCUUAAUCCCACAACCACAACCUCCGAUCCAACAAAGUUUCGAAGGAAUGAUCACACGAUAGUCGGCAAGCUUAUUGUUUCAACACUAGCUAAUAGUAAGACCCACGUCUGCCCCUUGGACUUAAGCAAUGUCUCCAAAAAAAUUUGAAUAAUGCAUGCUUCAUAUUUCAAAUUUUAUUCUAAAAUGUUUGUCUCAAAUAUUGCAUUCUUCAAGUGAAUGAUGAAGUAAAAUUAUCAAUCAAAAUGAAAUUCGUGAAAUUUUUUCGUUAUUUGCUUGACGAAUGACAUAUGACAUGACAUCAUUCACCGUCAAAAUUUUAAAAUGAAAAUUAAUGUCAUGACAUUAUUCAUAAAAUUUUCGUGCAUGCGUUCAAGCUUAUGCUCAUAUAUUCCUAGUAAAUGUGUUUUUUUAACAUAUAAAUUGACUAAAUUUAAUUUGUUUGAGAAUUAAAUUUUGUGUAAUAUCAAUUUGUGUGUAAAAAAGUCAUGUAUACCAUCAUUGGAUUUUUUUUUUUUGAAUGCUGUAACUCCAAAAAAGAAAUAAUUCUUAAAUAUUUGUAAUUGAACAAAUGAUAAAAGUAAUUUUUAUGAGGGGCGAAAAUGUCAUUCUUCUUUUAACGUUGAUAUUCAUUUAUUGACUAUUGCUGUUACAGACUUCAACAAAUCCUACUACCACAAUUUCUUUUUUUUUUUGGAAUUUCACACACCAUUAAUCUACCCCUGUAUCCUAUUUCAUACACAAAUACAAAUUAAAUAAUUUUUUUUAAUUUCCUUAUUUUUUUCAAUCUAUGCAGAUUUUAUAUUUUUUAAAGUACAUAUAGGCAAAUUCUAGUGUUUGGUAAAUAAAUUUUACUAAAUAUUUAACCCUUCUUCUUCACGAAUGAUUAUUUCUACACUAUAACUAAUAUCAACUAUUUUAAAAAUUAUAUCAUUACAAAAUGACGACUUUAAUAAUAUGAAAAUAAAGAGGAAGUGAAAAGCAAUUAAGAAGGCAGUGACUAUAUGCGAUAGUGGAAAUUAGUAAUUUUAUUGUUCGUUUCGACUUUAGAUCAUAUAUUAGUCUAUUUCAUUCCAUGUGUUUAUAUUUUUUAUUUUAUCCAAUCGAUUGUCUCGUUUAUAACUCAGAAACUUAAAUUAUAUGUAAUCCCUUUAUUAUUAAUUUAUUAUUGAAGUGAAAUCUCCUCCCAAAUAAAUGAAGAGGGGAAAAAAAAUCUUAUCACACGAAAGUGAUAAUAAACAAUUGUACAUCAUCCUAUCCAAAAAAGGAAACUUACCACUAAUAAUAGUGAUGCGGCAGCGGGGCGGUUUCUAAUGAAAUUGUCUCGCAAUUACGGAAACUGGANNNNNUUAAUUAAUUAANNNNNUGGGAUGGGUUGGGAAUAAAUUUUUGCAACCGCUAAUUCCCAUUUCCCCCCCCCCCCCCUCAUUUUCCCCUUUUUCUCUAUGAAAGGUGCCUUCAUGACCAGCUUCAUAGAGUUUGCAAGCCUGUGAAAAAAGGAAAAUUAACUAAAGCAGAAUCAACAGUCAGCAGGUUUUACUUGAAGGCCAAGAAAGUUUGGACUAACAAAGUAGUUGGGGAUUGAAAUUGAAUGUUGAUUUUUUGUGGACUUCUCCAUCCAUGCGGGUGAAAUUACUUAAUAGUUACAGCUAUUAUAAGAUCAUGCCUUGAUUUCCAUCUCAAUUCAAUUUUGUGUUACACUUUCAUAAUUUGGAGUUUAAUUUUUAAUCCUAUUCCAACUUGCAUUAUACUUCAUUUAUAAGUCAACAAAUCACUUGCAAGCCACUUAAUUAGUUCAUGGUGUGUUUUAUCAAUGGGUAAUAAGAAUGGGUUGAAAUUGAAAUAAGCUGGCAUAAUAGGGAAUGGACACUAUAAUAAAUUGUUUACUUUAAAUGUAUGAAUGAAAAUCAAAAUCGAAACCGGAAUAAAUAUUGUCAUUAAUAUAUUUUCUUUAUCUUGAAAUUGAAAUGCAUUGUUGUAAGUUAUUAAAAUGACUUUAGUUGAUUAUAUUCAUUAUAUAUUAUAAAAAUUAUGAUUAUUAUUAUUCAAAAUAAUUAUUGUUAAUAAUAAUAAUAAUUAUUAUUAUUUAAUUAUUAUGACUACUAUUAUUAUAAUAAUCAUAACAUAAUAAUAAUUAUUUUGAUGAUGAUGAUGAUGAUGAUGAUGAUUAUUAUUAUUAUUAUUAUUAUUAUUAUAAAUGGGGUAAAAAGGGAUUUUGAAUUUUUACUAAAGGUACAAAUAUCAAUUCACUUGUCAUUCUUGCCUUUCCUUGGGAAUGAGAUUCUCAUUCCAUAAAUUUAUAAGGUCCAUUCAAAUUUCAUUCUCAUUCUCCGUCCUUAUAAGAAAUUUUAAAAUAUAUCAAAGGUAAUACAAUAAACUAAUACAUGUAUAAUAUGUAUAUUUAGACUUAAUAUGAUCACUACUUACAUGAUGAUUUUUCACAAUAAAUACUUAUAUGUCAUAACAUAAUUAUUUGGUAUAUGGCUGACCUCUGAUGUAUUAUAUAAUUUCUUUUAUUUUAGAUGUAAACAAGUAAAUAAAUCUCAUUCCCAUUUCCAUUCUCAAUUAGUAAAUACAUCAUAAAUGUUGUAAAUAACUAAUUUUAUUAAAUUAGUAGUGCAAUUAUAUACAAAUAAUAAUAAGAAAAUUAUAUUUACACCACUUUUAUUUUGUCGUAUAUACAUCUAAUCAUCUCAAAAGUUUGAAAUGUUUUUUGCACCACCUUUGUUUUUAAGUUUGUAUCAAUAAAUCACGUCGACACUAAAAAUGAUUAUUUUACCUCUAAAUGAAUUAAAAGAAUAUUUUAUUCUAUAAAAUUUUUAAAAANNNNNUUAAUUAAUUAANNNNNGUAAAAGAGAUUAUAAUAUUUAUUAUUAUACAUAUGGGAGAACAUUGGUGCUGCAGCACCAAGAGAGAUACGCUGCAGCACUAAAAUGAGAAAGCUUUGAGAUUGAAAUAUAAUUCCUUCGUAAUUAAUUAAUUAGUUUAUUUUAAAUAAAUGCGAAAAGAUGGAAGAAUGGGCCACAUAUAUCAUUUUCACCAAAUGAAAAAAUCUUCCCAAAACGCGAAAAGAUGGAAGAAUGGGCCACAUAUAUCAUUUUCACCAAAUGAAAAAAUCUUCCCAAAACGAUAAAAGAUGGAAGAAUGGACCACUGGGACUGAGUUCUGGCUUGGCGAAAAACCUGAAUCAGAUAACGUGAUAAACCUCAUCUCUAUUGUCAGCUGAAUAUGAGACUUUGAUUUUCUAACAUUGUUUUUAGCUGUAAUCAUAUUCCAAAAUCGAGUGUAUAAAUAUUAAAUAAUGUAAAAGUUGCCUAAACGAUUAAUCUAAGUGAGAUUGAAAUGGAUUUGUUGAUGGGUACGUAUUAUUUUUAGGAGCUUAUUAAAUUACAUAAUUAUGUAAUAUAUAUCAAUUCAACAGUUGUUACUAGUAACAAAAAAAUAUAAACAACAAAAAUUAUAUGUGAGUUAAUAAUAGCAACUGUUAGGUUCAUGUAUAUUACAUAAUUAUAUCACUUAACAACUGUCUUAUUUUCAAUAAAUAAAGAACCAUUUGUUGCAUUUCGUGUCUGUAUGGCGUUCAUUGAUUCUCUUUGUUGUUUAAUUUUAUAUUUCUGCAAAAAUCAACCGGUCUUGGAUAAAUUAUCUCACUACGAUCGAUAUACGUAUCAGGGAGGUAUCUAGUACAGGACCAGCUGAGGCACGUGCCCCCAGCUUGCUUUCGAUUUUUCCUUUUCUUCGUUCGUAAUCGUUAAAAUAAAGUACUUUGUUCAUAGUUUGAGAAAUUACCCCAACUGAAUUAUAAAAUUAUGAAAUCACCUCAUAGAUUUUUAAAAAGUUCACAUUGUCCCUAGAUUAAAUGUCUAAUUCUAAAUAAUUUGAUCAAUUACUAAAAUAUUGUGAAACUUAAAUAAAAAUAAAAAAACAAUAGACUAUUAAGAGUUUUUCUUCCAUCAAAGAAUGAGGAACAUUUGACGCAAGUGAAAUUAAGUCCCUUUUCUCUCUUUUGGUUAUGUUACCUGCGCCUGAAUCUUGAGCGAAACUUGAACAACAUAAAUUAAAAAAAAAAAUUACAAACAAAAGAAAUUAACUUUAAUCUUCUCUUUAGGGUUUCUUUCCAAUGCUUUGAAUCAAAAACACACUUUCUUUAUUUGUUUGUCACGAAGUUAAUGCAUGGAUUUCAUUCCAGUUCUCUAAAUCAGAAGUACUUUCCUUCAAUUAUUUAGUCUUUCAAAAUUGAUCCAUAAGUUGUAAGUCUAGAUAAUUCUAAUUUUUAAUUUUCGGAUUAAUUUUUUAUCUAGUNNNNNUUAAUUAAUUAANNNNNAUAAAAUAAUAAAAAUAAAUUAUGUGAGAUAAAAAAUAUUUAAUUUAAUUAAUUUAAUCGUUUGUAUAAAAUAAGUUUAUAUAAAACAUUUGUAAUUAGAUUAUUACUCUUGUAAACCAGUGCCGAUAUGUACAGUAUGCUAUUUGUGUGAGUUUUCUAUCCAAUUUUUCCGUCCAAUAUGAUUACAAAUAAAAAAAAGAAAAACGUGGACUCCAUCGACGAGACCUCACGUGGGCCCACUAAUCUUGAUGAUCUCAUCUUUUUCGUGUGAAAAAAAACACCCCCCUUACAACGACACCGUCUUUUCUUUGUCUUUCCAUUCGUUUUCGUCAGCCAACACAAACACUCACUUAAUAGCCCCCCCAUUUUCGUUCACUCCUAUCCAUUGUCCACGCGUCCAACGACGAUUGCUUCUCCGGCUCUAAUCACAGGAUUUUCGUUAAAUGGACGUACGACAUGGGCCCCAUCUCUGCGCAUACCAGACCGUCCAUGCACUUUGUGAAAAGAGAAUAAAACUAUUUAAGAGUUGUACUAUUGGCACCGUUCAUUAAUUUUAUAAAAUUUUAUUAUCUCACAAUUAUAUUUAAAAAUAAAUAUAAAUAAAAUAAAAUUAUUUAUAUUUUUUUUAAUUUUAUUUUUCUUGAGCAAUAUAAAUAUUUUUUAUUAUCAUUAAAAUAAUGUGAAUUUAAAAAAUAAUCCUUUAAGUUAAAACAAAAUUUUUGUAAUAAACAUAACAAUUUAAUUAAGAUACAAUACAAUAGAAAAAUAAGUCAAAUAAAAUUUUAUCCCACUGUAAAUAAUUUUUUAAGAAUUCUCAAACUAAUUACUAAAUGAAAAAUUUAUAGGUGAGAUAAAAUUGUAUUAGACUCAUAAAAAUAUUAAUUAUUUUCUAACUAUAAUAUUUUUCUUUUUUUAGAUUUUUUCUUUAAAAAUUAAUUAAUAAAAAAGUUUGAAGAGAGGAAUACCAAUAUUAAGACUGAAAAAGUGAAAAAUAUUAGAAACUAAAAAAUUCAUAAAUAAAAAAAAGUAUUCAUUUAGAAAAAAAUAGUAUUUUUGACAUUAAAUGAAAUAUAAUUAAAAAAAGAGUUUCAAUAAGAUUUUAGAGGGUGUUAAUGUUGGGGAAAAAUUAGGUUUUUAAAUUUUUUUAAAACCUUUUGAAGAUCGCUCUCAUAUAAUAUAUAAGAAUUUAUAUUCUAGAAAUCGUACCUUGAAAAUUUGAGUUGGCUUUUUCCGCUGAAGUGAUUUAGGCUCCUAGAUCACGAUCCGCCACCACCACUCCUGUUAGAUCACGAUCUGUCACCACCACGCUUGUUAGAUCACGAACUGUCACCAAUGAUCUUCCAAGUUAUGACUCAGGUUCGAUCUACACUUGACGUGUGGGCGCCUUUAUCACUACCAAAGCAACUAGCACGAGAAAAUUUUUCUCUCAACAAUAGAGAGAAAAAUCUUNNNNNUUAAUUAAUUAANNNNNCUUCCGGUGAUGUCCGGCAGUGGUCCGGCGAAGUCCGGUGGUAGUCCGGCGAUUUUCCGGCGGAUGUCUAUUUAUAAUAUUAAAUUAUUAAAAUAAAAUAAUUAUUAUUAAUAAUAUUAAAUAAGUUAAAAAAUUAAAGGGUAAUUUUGAAAACUUUAAUUUUUAAUAUAAGAGGAAUUUAAAAUUUUUACUAAUUAAUAUAAGAUAAUAUUAGAUUUUAUUUUUUUUUAUUUAUUUUAGUUUAACAAUAUAAAUUUUUUUAACUUUAAAUGGAUAAAUUAAUUGGAUUUUGGAUAUCCAUUAAAUAUUCAUACCCAUCCAAUAUUUAAUUAGAUAUUUUUUAAAAUAUCCAUAUCCAUAUCUAAGAAGAUUUUGAAUGGAUAUUAUCCAAUCUAAAUGGAUUGGAUAUAUGAAUAUCUAAUUUGGAUGGACCAAUUUACCAUCCCUAGGCAUCAGCAUAAUUCAGUACGUAAGCCAUAGAAAAAGACAACUAUGACACGUGUCUCUCACAGCCCACGUUCCAAGGAGUUGAAUUAUGAAUAUAAUAUAAAUAAUAUUUAUUUAAUUGUUAGAAGGAUUUCUCUGUCCCCGAACCACCUAAAUCAUACGAUAUUGUCAAGCCCAAGCCCAAGCCCAACCCCUCAACCAACCAGAUUCUUAAUUCUAUUCCAUUUCCUCUAUUAAAUAAUAAGGGAUAUUAUCAUUCGUAUACUCUAUAAAUAUUAUGUUAUUAAAAAUAUUACAAUACUUUAAGAGUAUAUUGAUCGUCUAUCAUAAAUUAACAAAAGUUAUCAGCCGACCACCAAACCGCUAGCUGUCGUUUGAAAGUUAAUGAAAUUAUAGUGAAUUGACGAUUUUACCUUUAUAAGUAUCACUUAUAUACCUUUAAAUUCUUUUAUUAUCAUUUGUAUCAUAUGAAAAGACCAAAUUAUCCCUCUGGCGUUAUCCUAUUUAAACAGUAAGUAACGGUUUGGUGGAGGCAGAUAUAUUUUGUCAAUUUAUGGUAGACGAUUGAUACACCCUCAAAGUAUUGUAGUAUUUUUUAUAACAGAACAUUUAUAGGGUAUACGAAUGAUAAUUUUUCAAAUAAUAAUUCUAAACUUUCAAGACACCCCACAAUCCCCUUUCAGUAUUAAAUAUAUGGGUCCGGUUACGGUACAACUAUGGUAUCGUGUUACAGUUACAUUCAGUCGUUGGAUCUAUUUAGAUGGAUGGAAUCUACUGAGAUUCAAAGGUCGGAUGUAAUUAUAGUACGGUAUCAUAAUUACACCAUAAUUUUCUUCUAAAUAUAUAUAUAAUGCAAUAAUAAUAGAAUAUUAUGAUUGUUAUAUACAACAUAUGGGUAGCGUGGCGUGGCGUGAGUUAUUUACGAUUAUAAGAUAAAAUAGAGGGUGUCAAGUGAAUAAGAAGUUUUGGCCCCGGGGGGGGGGGGGGGGGGGGGGGGNNNNNUUAAUUAAUUAANNNNNUUUUUUUAUUUUCUAGGGUUAAAUUGGUAAUUUAAUUAUUUUCUUUUUAUUAAUGUCCAAAGAAAAUUAUUAUAAAAGGGUAAUAUUGUAAAAAUAAGCCAAAAUAAAUGAAAAGUAACGGUAGGGGUAUCAUACUUUAACAACAGAGAUGUUUUGAAAUAUUUUUAAAAAUACAGGGAUUAAAUGGACACUAAUCCUAAAACACAUGGAUUAAAUGAGUUUUUACCCAUCAAUAAUUAAUCAAACAUGGAAAAGUAAUCGAAAUUGAAAAAUCUAUACAGAUAGGGAAAUUCUCCUUUUGGCAUCAGUGGGUCUACAUAAUUUAUUUUGCAUCAAUUAUGCACCAUCACAUUCUUCAACUGCUUUCAAUUAUUUAUGCUCCAAUAACUGCGAAUUGUUCUUUUCAGUGCAAUCAACUUGCAACUCCCCUAAUCGCAAAAAAACUUACAACUUCCCUUUCAUAAAUAGUAGUGCCCAUUUCCCCAGUAGUCUCGCAUUAACAUUUAAACAUGAUUAUCAAACACUUGGUUUAGUGGUGACCCUUUAUUUUUAAGGUCAGAAGUUACCUAAUCUUUUCAUAUAGAUAUGGGAGUAGAUUUUUUUUGUUUUUCUCCCAAUUUCACAGUAAUUAGCUAGUAAACCCCUCUAACCUUAGAGAAGAGUUGAGAAGUUAUGGAUCGAAUUUCUGAUUGAUUACAUUAAAAAUGGUUCCGUUAAUUUCCAUCAAACUUAUUUUUAUAAUAUCAAUACACUAAGGGCGUGUUUGGCGCCCCGCAUAACACUGUAUUAGAACGCCAUAUUGUAUUAAAAUAUUACAAUAAAAUGAUUGGCUGCUAUGCGGUAUUGCAUAAAAAAAAAUUAAUGCAGCAAAACCCGUAUAAUGGAAUCUAGCGUGAGUGUCGAGUUGAUUUGAUUUAAUUUUUAUUUUACAAAUUAUAUAUUUAAAAAAUACUGAAAAAAUAAAUGUUAUGCUACUAAAAAUUUAAGGUCAUAAGCUCAAAUCUAUUGAAGAAUGAUGAUAUAUUUUUUAACAUUUAUAUUACAACAAUAAUGUUAAAUUUUCAAAAUUUAAGACUUUUAUAUUCAAUAUUUUUCUAAGUAUUAAAUAUUAAUAAAUAUUAUUUUCUAAAUAUGUAAUUUAAAUUAAUCAGCAAAGGAAUUAAUACAAUACAAUGCAACACCAAACAUAGUAUAACUAAAAACUAAUACAAUAUAGUGUAGCACCAAAUAUUGUACAAUAUUAUUAUAAUAUAGUGUUAAUACAAUACAACAUAAUACAAUACACCUGCAUUAAAAUAAUGCAAUACAACGUAAUACAAUAUAACGUGUCAAACGUACCCUAAUUGUAUUGUAGUAUCUAAAAAAAAAAGAUAAUUAGACUGUUUUAACCAUGAUUAUCUAACAUUAGAUUGAAUUAAAAGAGUCAAAAUUUAUGUUAAAAUNNNNNUUAAUUAAUUAANNNNNAGCAAAUUCAGCCAAUCGUAAAUACUUGCUCCAUGAUCCUUGAAAGUUGAUAGCAUAUCCUCGUAACAUAUCUUCAAGCGUCUGAAUCAUUUUUUCUGACUAGUCGUCCAUUUGAGGGUGAAAUUUUGUACUAAAUUUUAAUUUUGUUCCUACAGCGCUAUGUAACUUUUCCCAAAAUGUCAAGGUAAACCACGUAUCUUGGUCAGAAAUAAUAGAAACAGGCACACCAUGUAGUCUUGCUAUCUCCUUUAUGUAUGUCUCUGCAAGCUGGUCCAUAGUGUACGUCAUUUGAGUAGGCAAGAAGUGAGCAGACCUUGUGAAUCGAUCGAUGAUCACCCAAAUAGCUUCAUGUAUUUUUGCAGUCCUCGGAAGACCAAUGACGAAGUCCAUUAUGAUUUCUUCCCACUUCCAUUAUGGAAUUUGAUUGGAUUCUGAAAGUCAUGUUGGUCUCUAGUGCUCUGCUUUGAUUUGUUGACAAGUGAAAUAUUUUACCACGAACUUGUUUUAGCUUUAAGUAGGAUUUCUUUCUUUGGAUCUUCAUUAUCUGACAUAUAUAUCCUGUCCUCGAAUAAGAUGAUUCCCUUCUCUGACUUCUUGAAUGACGUCUCCUUUGAGUUGACCUUUAUAUUCAAGUUCUUCAAGUAGGAAUCGCUUUCCUGCCGCUCCUUAAUCUUUUCUACUAAGGUCGAGUGAAAUGUCAUGUUGGCUAAUUUUCCUACUACUAGCUCGAUCUUUGCCUUGCAUAUAUCAUUUUGUAAUGGCUUAGGUAGAAUCCUUAAAGCUGACAAGCUUGACUUUCGACUUAGUGCAUCUACUAGCACAUUUGCUUCUCCAGAAUAAUAGUUUAUUUUGCAGUCAUAGUCAUUACUAUGUAGCCCCAUUAAAUAAUGACGUCAUGUAUUUUAAUAUGUGCACCACCGCUGCCAACUCUAAAUCGUGCGUAGGAUAAUUUUUCUCAUACUCCUUCAAUUGUUUGGAAGCGUACGUAAUGACUUUUCCAUUUUGCAUGAGGACUGUUCUGCAAAAUUUAUUGUACUUGUAGGCACACGAAUCUACCGUAGAAUAGGUUUUGUGGCGACGACUGUCGAAACCAUGAGGAGGUAGAUUUAAUUAUGUGUAUAUGUGAGUUUAUUCGAAGUGAAAUUUUUUUCAUCUUAAGAUUUAAAAUAAAAUGGUAGGAAUGAAUUAAAGAUGAAAACAAUGCAAAUAAAACACUUGAGUCUCUAGAUUCACACUCAACAUUCAUCAUGAGCUAAUAAAUAUAGUAUCAAGCGCUCAUUGUGCUAGAGGUAAUGAUCUUCCACUAAGUGUGGUGUUAAGAACACGCUGUGUUAGACGAUAAUAAUCUUUCUGUUGAAAACGUGGCAAGACCGUCCAUUAAAUAGCUUAGAUACACUCUUUGCCAACACUAAGUCAUGAUAACCCACAAAAGACUAUACAUANNNNNUUAAUUAAUUAANNNNNUUUUUUAUGAAUUUGUUUUGAGGACUCUCUGGAAUCUGUCGGCUCGCCGUUUUCUUUAUAACGGCUCGCCGUUAUCACGCGUUAAUUGAACAGUCCUUCGCCUUCCUCCUCAUUUCGGCUUCUCUUUCUCUCUCUCUCUCACCUCAACCCGCGACUGCACCAGUUCUCUCCUCUCAAAUCCAUCACUUUUCUUGUCAUUUUUCACCAAAUUGAAGCAUUACAAACCAUUUCUAUCAUUUCUAACACCUUUUAACCGAUUCAAAUCCUUCUCUUUCUUCAAAUUUUGAAAAAUCUCAUCUUGAAACCCUAGAACCAGCCGACUCUCAUUCGUUCACUUUGACCCAAAUUUCUUCGUCUUUCCAACCACAUUUUCACCCACAAUCACUAUCUCAUCUCUAAAACUUCAUUUUCACAAUUUUUCUCAUCCAUGGCGGAACGACCUCCAAGGCGUGUUCGAACCAAGCACACUGCUUCACGCCGUUCCAGUCCACCCAGGUCUCCUCCUCAAGACUUCGAAAGUCUUCAUUUUCCCGAUGCUACCUCUGCUCAGCGAUUCCGUGAGAAGUUCAUGGGUAAACCCGUAACUCCCUCUUUUUCUCUUAACACUUCGGAGUUCUCGGAUAUUUCUGUUUGUGGUCACUCAAUUACUCAAAUGCUUAGUCAUUGGAAACAAGCUUUAAGUGUUGAUGAACCUAUUUAUGAAAAUCUUGUUCGAGUCUUUUAUUCAAACAUCGAUUUCUCCUCUUCUAGUCGUGACGAGCUUCAUACAUUUGUAGGAGGUAUUCGUAUUGAACUUGAUGAACCCGAAUUAUGUAGUAUUCUAGGAAUCGCUUAUGGAGGAUUAGAUCUGUACACCUCUAGGAAAGAACUAGAGUUUAGUAAUUUUCGUCAUGUGGAUGGUGUACGGAACAUUUGUCGUCGUCGGGAUCUUUCCGAUGACAUCUGCUCUUUGUCCUUUAGGUCUCAACUCCUCCCUUUUCAGAUUCGAAUACUUCACAUUAUUCUCCAACACAUGGUCACUCCUAGGCAGGGUCACACUGAUGAGGUCACUAGGCUUGAUAUUGGUCUUUUAGACUCUCUCAUCCGUAGACGCCAUGUGAGCCUAUCCUACACCAUUAUGUGUCAUAUGCUGACCACUCCUAAAGUCUCCAACCGAUCCCUUCCUUAUGGCAGCAUCAUUACUAAAAUCUUGAACCACUUUCAUGUUCCUAUCGUCGAGCCUGUUUUUCUCGAGACUCGUAAACUCGGUCGAGACAUUAUUUCUGCCAUUGGUUUCUUUAAGAAGCGUGGGAAAUGGGAAAAGACCACAUCCUCCAAAAACGAAGCCACACUGAUUGCACCCGAGGAUGAUCGCAUGCUGAAUGAUGUCUACUCCGAGGAUGAGCUGCCUGACUUCCGUCUUGGGGCUAGACCACGUGUUCCUCGUCGAGCAGCAGCCNNNNNUUAAUUAAUUAANNNNNGAGCCUUGCAUCCUUCCCUCCAUUUGUAGCUCAAGAGUAUGCUCAGGAUAUUAACGCAGAGGAUGAAAAAGGGAAGAAAUGGCCGCUUCGCUUGAGAAUUCGCAAGGGAAAGCAAAAGAAGCGUGUUCUAUCUGCUGGUUGGCGCCGUUUUGUUCGGCAGAAGGGGCUUCAAAUUGGUGACAAAGUUUUGUUUUUUACAGGACACAACGAAGCAGAGAUUGCAACUGGAGUCAAGUACAAGAUCAAAGUGCAGAAAGCAGUCAAGGUGUUUAAUGUUGUUUUCGGCCAUGCGCCAUGUACUGAUUAGGAAAUAUUUUUAUACGGAGGCUGCUAACUUACAACUGCUGUAAGGUGCAGCCUCUCACGUAAACAGCAUUUAGGAUUUAGGUUCAUAUCAGAUACUGGCAACUUGCACCUGCUGUAAUGUGCAGCCUUGAAGUAUUUGUGACUUGACCCAUAUCAGAUACUGUUAGUAUUUUUAUAUUUAUUCCAGUAAAGUUGUAGUAGUUGCAGAUUCUGCAACCUAGCCUUGUCCUAAAGUUGUAAUUCAAUAACAGUCAAGGUGUUUAAAGCCAUUUUAGGCUUUUUAUUACUCCUCAUAAAUUUAUUAUUCCAAUAAACUUCGUCGUGCCGCGUGAGACUUCCCACACUGACGUGCCUGCACUUUGCCAAAUUGAACCACAAUCAGUUUAAUUUUCAUUACUUUUGUGUUAAAGCAUUUCUGGGUUUGAUUUUUUUUUUUUUUUUUCUGCUGUUGUUGUGGGUAGCUAUUAAUUUUGCCAGUACAUUUUAGUUGGCCUCAUGAAUUGUUAUGUUUUUACUUACAAUUAAAUAUUGUUCAAAGAUGAACAAAUAGACUAAUUUUGCUUUUGAGAAAAUUAAUUAAUUAGUUAAACAAGUAAUUAAAAAAUUAAUUAGUUGAUACAUUUAUACGGGAGAUUGGGGGGAGCAGAGGUGAAGGACAGAGAAUUGGAGGGGAUUUGUGUGUAUACUUGGAUGGUAGGAUUGGAACGGUGUGGUCUACCUGUACAAAUCUAAGAUGUUCCAUGAUACUUAACAUUCAAAAUAUACUGAUAUUGUGAAUAAAUAAAGUAAAAAUAUUGUUUUAUACACCACUUUAUUAUACUUUAUCUUAUAUGUAUUCUAUAAUAUUUAUGCUUGUCGUCAUUUAUGUAUGAUCAUAUUAUAUUGUAUUAUUUUAACGUAAUAUUGUUCAUUAAUUUUCUACUUCUAUCUUUGUAUUAAAUAUUAUUAUCAUAAUCCAAAAUUCUCUUCACAGUCUCACUCUUCCUCAACUGUCAAUCUUUCAUCAUGAGAUGACUAUACAACUACUACAAACAAUAAUAAACAACAUUAGUGAAACUAAGAUAUGAGUUGUGAAUCAUCAUCAAAUUAUAACAACAUCCGAAGUUAGCUCAAUUCUUUUUUUUUUNNNNNUUAAUUAAUUAANNNNNUAUAUAUAUAUAUAUAUAUAUAUAUAUAUAUAUAUAUAUAUAUAUAUAUAUAUAUAUAUAUAUAUUUAUUUAUUUAUUUUCCAUUGUGAUUGUCUUCGUAGCCAUCAUCGUCAUCAUCAUUCAUUAUCAUUAUUCUUGCGGUUUUUAUACCUGGAUGUGCAACAAAUUAAAAAAUUUAAAAAAGGCACAUAAAUAUUUCAUUAAGCAUAUGAAGGUUAUAAGAGUAAUUUUACUAAACAAACAAAAUUAACUUUUAACUUUUCGAAAUCACUUUUCAGCCUUUAAAAAACAAUAUCGAUUGGGCUCUUAGAAUAUCAUAGGUUUCAUUAGUGUUGUGGUGUUGUAUUUUUAAGUUAUAGUUCGUUAUUGUGAAAUAAAAAUUUUAAAUGUGAAAUAAAAGUUGAUAGUAUUUGAUAAACAUGAUUUUUAAAUAAUAGUUUUUUGACAAAACUAAUAAUGAUGUUAUAAUUUUCUAUGAAAUAAAAUUAUUCAACUUCUAUUAACACAGCUGUAAUUGUUUAUUAAACACUUUAAAGCUGUGUUUUUUAAGCCACGACUCCUCAGCACGAGCACUAAAUGGAGCCUACAUCAAAUUGAUUAAAUUUAAAUUUGAUUUUGACAAGAAUAAGCUAAAUAGGACCGACUCAACCUAUGUCGUUUCUAUUCAGCUAUUAACUUCAAUAAUUUGAAUCAUGGAGUUGUUAUUCUUUGUUGAUAAAUAAAAUAAAAUAAUUAUCGAUCUUAAUUAAUUUUGGUUUUUCUUUUCAUGAAAUAUUCAAGUUGCAAUUUUUUUUUGUAUUUUUAUAAGCGAAGGAAACCAAUAUGCCAGAUUUUAUAGAGGAUAUCGGUUUUUGGCAAAGCCUUAACAACUAAGUACCACUCAUGACUUGGGAUCUUUUAACUUAAAAUCUUAGGGUACAUGCUUAAACCACUAAUUCAUUAACGAAUGGUUUCUUUAAAUUUUUUUCUUUUUUAAAAAUUAAUAAUUUCAAUAAGGGGACCUGAUGCUAGAGAGCGAUUUCUAUUUAUGCAUGGCAUUAGCUCCGAAGAUACGGAAUAAAAAGCAGUACCUGUAUGUCCAACUUUGUAUGUAUUUCAAUUUUUGAAUAAAUGUUCUUUUAGUCUUAUAAUAAUUUGAGUUAGUUAUUCAAUUUGUCCUUAUAAUUUUAAAAAUUACAUGAAAUACACAUUUUGUUACUUUCAUAGUUGUUGUACUUAAUUUUUUAAGGUAAAAUAAUAAUUCUGUCUGAUCUAACAUAAAAUUGAAAUAAAUUUAACAUGCAACUAAUGAAAAUAUAAGAUAAUUAAGUAUAUUUUAACAAAAAGAAAUAUAUACACAUAGACCUUUAAAUUUUUUCUAAAAUAACAAAAUUUCUUAUUACAAAAAUCAAUACCCUUUCAUAUAUAUAUAUAUAUAUAUAUAUAUAUAUUNNNNNUUAAUUAAUUAANNNNNCCUCACUAAAGAAGAGUUAUAUGUAUAUAAUUUUUCAAUGUGAAAUCAUUUGAAUUAUUAAAGUAAGACAAAAAAAAAAAUUUCAACACACUAUAUAACAUAAUACACAGCAAUGAAUUUGUGUGCUUUGUUUAUAUUUUAGUUUAUUUCUUUCUUUAAUAUUUUAAAUGAUAACUUGUUAGAUAAUGACUACACACACACGAUCGCGUGCAGUAACUGGGAAUCCUAUUACACCUAAAGCCAACUUCAAUUCACCAAACCAAGGUUAAUCUCGUGUAGUGACUAUGGACUCGUACAAGGAUAUUGACGGACCGAACCAAGGAAAAACUAUCUCAUAAUGGAUGAACGGAAAUAAUCCUUUAAUAAGCAAAUUUUUAUAUAUAUAGAGAAAGACAAAGAGAGAUUUUUCAGACCUUAACAAAGUGUAAAAUCCUAAAUUAGAACAUUAUAUAUGUAUGUAUGUAUGUAUAUAGAGGAGUAGUUGAUGCCUAAAUGAAUUUUUAUGCCCUAUUUCCCCUAGGAUUCGAACUCAGUUGGCCAAUUACAAAAUAGUUAAUUAAAGAACUAUAUACAUAUCAAAUUGAUCUUUAAUAAGUAGAUUUGAAUUUUUUUUUUCCAAAAAACAAAUUUUGAAAACAAAUUUUGAAAAGUUGUUGGUACCAAAAGAACCCUUGCACUUCGCGAUUAUGACAGUACUAGCUAGUUUAAGCUUAGUCGAAUUAAUAAAUUUUUUUUUUGAAGUUACAUGGUAAUCUAAGGCUCCCUUUGACAAUUAAACAUUACAAGUCAUAAUUACAGUAAAAUAAAAAUUAUAAUUGUGAAAUAAACUUAUCAGAUGUGACUUUUAAAUUUUGAGGAAUAAUAUUUUUGAAAAAAAUUUGAAAAAUAAUAAUUUUUUUUUAAAAAAAUGAAGCUAAUACUAUGAGUUCCUAUUUAUUUGGAAUUAAAUUAAUAUAACUUUUAAGUUGUAAUAUAUUUUAUGUAUCCGUAACAUACUUUUACUGCUGCAGCUAUGACAUCAAAGUUAAAAGCAUACUAACUGUUGCGACACAGCAACACCAUGCAAAGCCUAAAUGAACUUACACAUUCGUUUGAACUUGUCUUUUAAAUGAGUCAAAUGCUCGCUUUUGGUAACACUGAAAUAGAAAUCUGGAUAAUCGGAUUGAUAGAAAAUGUUGGGUGGAUUUGCGGUCCCGAUUGCUAGAAUUGCAGCAGGGCCUCGACCUCGAGCCUGCCGACUCUCCAUGAUAUUUCCCAUCGACGCCAUAUUUUUGCCAGCUGCUUCAAAGUUUUCAGUGUUUUAUGAGCAGAUGAUAUAAGUUAUAACUGAGCUUCUUUGCUUUUAUAGGCCAAAGCGUCUGUGCAUUCAUUCAUUGCGCCUUCGGUUUUGGUAAAUCACAGCUUUACAAUUUAAAAAUAGAAUAAUCUAANNNNNUUAAUUAAUUAANNNNNAAAUUCUUCUCAAAGUUGGAUUUACGAGCAGGUUACCACCAAAUCCGUGUGAAGGAGGAGGAUGUUUCAAAGACAGCCUUUCGUACACACGAGGGACAUUACGAGUUUCUUGUGAUGCCAUUUGGACUUACCAAUGCUCCUGCAACCUUUCAGAGUCUCAUGAAUGAUCUUUUUCGUCCAUAUCUUCGGAGGUUCAUACUUGUUUUUUUUUACGACAUAUUGGUGUAUUCUCGAACUUGGGAAGAUCACCUCUCGCAUCUUCGUCAAGUUUUAGAUAUUUUAUCAACUAACAGCUUGUUUGCCAAAGAGUCAAAGUGUCAAUUUGGAGUUUUGCAGGUUGAGUAUUUGGGUCAUAUCAUCUCCGAAAAAGGUGUGGCUGUUGAUCCUGUUAAAAUACAAACAGUCAUUGAUUGGCCUACGCCAACGAUGACGAAGGGGGUUCGUGGAUUUCUUGGUUUGGCUGGAUAUUACCGGAAGUUUAUUCGCAAUUUUGGGUGUAUAGCAGCUCCUUUGACCAUGCUCUUAACUAAAGAUGGCUUCCAUUGGAAUAAGGAUGCAGUCGCGGCUUUUGAUCAAUUAAAAACAGCAUUGACUUCUCCACCUGUUUUGCGUCUACCGGAUUUUUCCCAACGCUUUGUGAUCGAGUGUGAUGCAAGUGGGAUCGGAAUUGGAGCCAUCCUCUCUCAACAAAACAAACCAGUAGCUUAUUUUAGUGAGGCCUUAAAAGGCUCUGCUUUGGCGCUGUCCACAUAUGAAAAAGAAAUGCUUGCUAUCGUUAAAUCAAUCCGCAAAUGGCGACCGUAUUUACUCGGGAAACCAUUUACCAUUCGAACUGACCAAAAAAGUCUCAAAUAUCUGUUGGAACAGCGGAUCACAACACCAGCACAAACUCGAUGGCUACCUAAGAUCCUUGGGUAUGAUUAUGAAAUUGAAUAUAAAAAGGGGGCUGAGAAUCAGGGUGCCGAUUCAUUAUCUCGAAUGGUGGAGUUUUUAGCAAUUUCGUUACCCCAUGCAAAUUGGUGGCCAGUUCUUCAACGGGAGGUACAGCAGGACACGUUUUAUGAAGGCCUAUCUCAGAGGAGCUCGUCUCAGUCUAACCAGUUGUUACAGAGAGAUGGAGUUUGGUUCAAACGUGAUAGAGUUUACUUGAGUUCCACUUCCUCACUGAUUCCUAAGAUAAUCUCCGACUGUCAUGCAUCUCCUGUAGGUGGGCAUUUCGGUUACCAUAAAACUCUUGCUCGCAUCAAGCGUAGUUUUUUAUGGCCCAACAUGAGGCGGACGGUGAAAGAAUUCUUGCAACAUUGUGACAUCUGCCAACGAUAUAAAGUAGAUAAUAUGAGGCCUGCCGGACUAUUACAGCCGCUACCCAUUCCGAAACAAAUGUGGACUGACGUUUCAAUGGAUUUCAUAGAAGGGUUACCAUCUUCUANNNNNUUAAUUAAUUAANNNNNUUUUCCUUUGUUCAAUUUCCGAGAGGCUUUGCAUUCGGAACAAUUCCUCUUUCCCGUUUUGAAUCUUUGCUUUAUUGCUUUACAGAAUUAUUCCCUAAGCUUAUCACGACUAGGGAAUUAUUCCUUUAAGCUGAGGAGGGAACAUUAUUAUUGGGGAAUUAUUCCCCUAAGAAUAUAAGGAAUUAUUCCUGUAGGGGAAUUAUUUCCUUAUGAUUAUGGGGGAUAAUUUUUGCUGGGGAAUUACUCUCCCUAGGGAAUUAUUUCCUGAAGCUUAUAGCAUAUUAUUUCCCUAUAUGUAUAGGGAGUAAUUUUUGCUUGCGAAUUAUUCUUGCUAUGGAAUUGUUUCCCUAUGCUUAUGAGGAAUUAUUCUUGUUGGGGAAUUAUUCUUAUUAGGGAAUUAUUUCCUUAACCUUAUAGGGAAUUAUUCUUAUUAGGGCAUUAUUCUCUAAAGCUUAUAGGGAAUUAUUCUUGCUGGCGAAUUAUUUCCUUAACCUUAUAGGAAAUUAUCAUUGUUGGGAAUUAUUCCUUUAAGCUUAUAGGGAAUUAUCAUUUUGAUAAAAUGGUGUUGCAUUUGAAUGUAUCAAAGAUUUUCUGAAUAAUGUAAGCAUUCAUCAUUGAUAACGUUGAUAUAUACAUUGGCAUAGAUUUCGACUUCGGACUUUUGACUACCAUAUCAUCAGUGUAAGCUUCCACAAUAUUCCUCAACAAUCCAUUGAAGAUUUUGGUCACAAGCCUUUUAAUAGCUGGAACUAGCGUUUUUCAACCUGAAAAGGCAUGACUUUGUAGCAAAAUAGAGCUCUUGGAGUGAUAAAGCUUAUUUUUUUCGCAUCCUUUGGAUGCAUUGGGAUUUGUUGUUUCCGCUGUAUGCAUCCAAAAGGGAAAGCCUUUAGUAGCUAGUGGUAGCAUCCACUAAUUGAUCAAUUUUUGGCAAGGGAAAGGAUCCUUCGGACAGGCUUUGUUAAGGUUUGUGUAAUCUAUGCAUACUCGCCAUUUUUUUUCACACCACAACAACAUUAGAGUUCAAUUCAGGGUAUUGAACAUCCCAAAUGAAUCAAACCUUGAAGAGGCGUUCCAUUCCAUUUAUGAGCAAAUCUCCCAUGUUUUUGUUGCAUUAGUUUUACCAUUGGGUCAGUUGUUAAUUGGUGGUAUGCAACUUCUGGAUAUAUUCAGAGCAUGUUUGUGUGACCAUGCAAAAGCAUCGUACUUCCUCUUGAGUAGGAAAAUCAUAUGUGUCUUUUCCACUUGAGCCAAUUUGCACCCUUUUUUAUGAGGCUAAAGGAUCUAGGGAUAUUGUUUCUAGUUCUUCAAUGACAAGCUCCUUGUAGUGCAAGCAUCGAGACAUUCAAUUUGGAAUUGGAUUUUACAGUUGUUAUUUAGCCCCAUCCUCCAGCAAUUGCUCUGGUGAAGGAAAAGGUUCCUCAAUANNNNNUUAAUUAAUUAANNNNNUCUAACCCUAAGCUAAGCCUAUUUCCUUUCUGGGCAAGUAAAAGCUUUUUCUUAAUUAAUUUAACUGUUUAAUGAAAUUCAGUGUUAUAAAAUAAGACGUUAAUAUGUUUAUACUUAUAUUCAUUCUUUCUUUUUCUUUAUUUUUUCAAAUAAAAAAAUUAUUUUACCUUUUUGGUUUCUCUGUAUACUGGUGCAAGUGGGUGCUUGAGUUUCUUAGUACAUAUAAACUAACGAGUUUACCUCAAAUGGUUUUAAUGUCAAACAAUUUCAGGAGUCAUUUGUUAAGGAUGACUUUACUGCAUAACAUCAGAUAUUUUAUUAGAUAAUAUUUAUGUGAAAAAUAAAAAUUUUCCUGCAAGUCCUUAGAAGUGGUGAACAGAGGAUUAUGUAAUUUAGCAUUUUAGUCAAGUGCUUUAUCAGGAAUCUCACAAUGCGCAGACUGUGAGGCUGAGAAGGAUGACGAGCCGGUUGAGGUGUUUUGUAAAAUGGCGGCGAAGAAUUGCAUAUGUUCUGUACUUUGACUAAUUGAUAGAGGUCUAGUAGAGGUUAAGUGAAGUUCUUGAAGUUUUUGAACAGCCGAAGAAGAGUGAUUUGAACCGGAAGCGCAUACUUGCAAUGCUCUUUUGGGGCUUAGUGUUGGUCAAUGAGGAUGCAUAUAAGAUGAUGGACGAGAUGGGAAAGUGUGGCAUUGGUCCGAAUUCUCGACUUUAUGAUAUAGUCAUUUUCUCAUCAACUAACAGAGGCUAGACAAAUUAAAGAGGCUUACUCAGUUUUUCAGAGAGCAGUAGUAAGCCACCUAACCCAGCCAACUCUGAGUACCUAUGAAAUUUUUAGGAUGCUUUGCAAUCAAGACCUUGUAGAUAUGGCAAUGAGGAUUUGAGAACUGAUGAAGUCAAAGGGCGUGCUUCCUAGAAUGCACAUUUUAUUUUGAAUUCACAGUCUAAACUUGGGAUUACUCCCAUUUCAAUUUUUUUUCCCCGGAUAGCACAUAAAAUGGUUAGAUGCAAGAAUGGAAAAAAAUGAGACAAGUCAAAAUAUUGCCCCAGUAUCAAGCUUCUGUCAACCUUUUACCAGUCUGUGUCUUUUGGCAAGCUAAGUAAUUGAUCAAAGGAGACGCUUCUGGUAGAAAGAUAUGAACCAAAACUUCACUAACAAAAUCAAAAACUCUGAAGAAAACAUCUCACGGCAUAGCUUUUGUGAUUUACAAAGCCAAAAAUACGAAGAAACAGAGAAGAAAAAGCCACAAAAGUUUUUCUGAUUUUCUGAUCUGAGAUGAUUGCGACAUAUUAUUCAGGUAGAAUACCUUCAACACCAUGAAUAAACGUCCAGUCACUCCGAUACAAGUUAAGCGACAAGACUAGCUAAUCAAGAGACAAGUCCUUGCGAGUUUGCUUCGUAUUGAUCUUAAACCGUCCAAGAAUGCNNNNNUUAAUUAAUUAANNNNNAAUAUGGAUUAAGAGAAAGCAUUAGAACAUGUCACAAAAGAAGCCCACAUUUAACCAUUUGAUUUGAUCAAAAUGGGAUUAAUUAAUUAAAGACAAAAUUAAUUAAUUUAGCUAUUUAUUUAUUUGAUUAAAUAAAUUAUUAAAGUGAUAAGAUCACAUUCAAUAAAUAAUGGCUUAGUGGGUGGGUCUAGCACAUGAUAAUGUUUGGUGCCAUUAUUGAAGAUAACGGUGGCUUUAUUUGGUGGAAUGAAUUAUCAUGAACUAGCAUUCAUGUUUCUUCAUUAUCUCUCUCAUUUCUAAACGAAAUUUCGUGAUUCAAAAUCCUAUGAACUCCUAGAACAUUUCUAAGUGUGGACCAACUAGAGGUAUCACAAUUGGGGUGCUUUAAGGAUCUCAAAUCGUGGCAAAACAGAAGCUGUUCGUGCAGAGGUUUAUGUUCUGGACAGUGUUCGUAGCUUGCUGUUUUCAGUCAUUUUCUCCUACUUCACGAAGUCGUUUUUGAAACUACAAGUGAAGUAAGUAAAGUUCAAUCUUUUCUCUUGAUUUUCGUUUUUGAAUGAAGGCGAUCCGAGGUUUCUAGAGCUUCCGCCAUCCGUUUUAAUUUUACUGCACAAAAGUUGCGUUUUUUUAGGAGCGUCAUGGACAAAUGUUGUCCUUUAGGAAUAAACCUGAUGUUCUUACCUGAUGAACUGGUGAAGAAUGUGCAAUAGCUUUACAUUUUUUAAGAUAUGAGAGUUUAACUCUUGGUGGAGAAGCUGUUUGUGAAUAAGCUUUAACAAACACACCUUGAGAAUUUGAGUCUUUAUGAUAUUGAUAUCCAAGACCAUGAUGAUCUGAACUAGAUUUGCUAAGUGACAAGAUAUGGUCUAACUUCUGAGUUCCAGAAUUCAUCAUCUUAAGUGAAUUUUUUGUAUUAUCUAAUUUUAUCGUCACUACAAGUCUUUGUCAUUAAGUAAAGACUUGUAAUGAAUUACUUCGCUCUCAAGUUUCGCCUUAUCAUCUAAAAGAUUGGAUACUUGAAUCAUCAAGGUCACAUUCUCAUUAUAGACUUCUUCCCAUUUAGCGAACAUCAUCUUGUAGCUUUCAUGAAAAACUUUCUUGUCAUUUAGAUCAAUGUCACUGACGUUGCUAUCUGAAUUAUUAUUCUGGUUAACAUGUUGCGCAAUUGUGUCAAGACGAGAAUCAUUGUCUUCUUUGCAAUGAGCUAAUUUCAAGGUUUCAGAUGUGGAUGCAUCUUUGAUGUUUGAUUCAUGUUUAUUGCCAUCAUUAUGCACAACAAGUCCUCCAGCAAGGUCUUCUCCAUCAAUGCUAUCAUUUGAAUCAUUAUCACUCCAAGUGGAUUGCAUUGCUUUCUUUUUCAUAAUAGUGUUAGUAUAUUGUGCUUGUAUGUGUCCUAUGCCUCCAUAUUCUCUGCAUUGAAUACNNNNNUUAAUUAAUUAANNNNNUUAAGCCCGUACCACAACCCAAACUAAUCUCCACUCGCACCGGGUCGGCCCGUAAGGGGUAAAGUGCUGGCCAAAGUGGUGAUUCCAUACAAUUAAUAAAUGAAAAUUAAGUUUGUCAUUGUCUUUACAUGAUGUCGUUUUAAAGAAUAAUUUUGCAAACGCAUAAAAUAGUAUGCAUCCACACAUUACAUCCACACAUUAUAUCUACUAUUCUAGCAUGUAGAUUGUGUGCGAAUUUUGGACACCUCGUAUGUGUUGUAGCUAUCAGCUUUGUCUUUCUCUUCAACUGAUCACAAAGUUAUAAAUUCUUAGAUGCAUACGAUAUAAAAACAUGAAAACAACAGGUGAUCACGGUUGUGUAUGGUGCAAUGUACGGUGGUUUGCGGAGGUUGAGUGGCGGUGCAAGAUGUAACACAAUUCUACGAGACUCUUGAAAUUUUCCCCGCCUAAAAUGAUAAUUUUCAACUUAUCUCUUCAGCUUAAUUGAUUGGACAUCUGAAUUCAAAUCUUGAGAGAGGUAGAGAUAGACAUCCAAAACUGGAUUUGAAUUUAGACCAAUAUCUCUUAUUAUUAAGAAAAUAUAACAUUGUUACUUUAUAACACCCGCUCAACAUAUAAAUUUCUUACCUUAAAUGCUAAAACAUUUCUUUCAUCAUGUUAAACAUUACUAUGUUUGCAACAUGUUGAUUUAUUUUUUAAAUGAAAAAAAAAAGUGGUUCACUUAUUCAACUAUGAAAUAGUUGUGAGAUGGGUUCGAGAGUAUAUAUGCCUCUUCGUACCAUUUUCCUAAAGACGAAUUAUUCUUCUUCUUCUUAUUCACCUUUUUUUUUCG
RNAcentral lists this long non-coding RNA (44640 nucleotides) under Citrus maxima (pomelo). RNAcentral's name for it is "long non-coding RNA (CMAX_LNC004440)". Lineage: Eukaryota; Viridiplantae; Streptophyta; Magnoliopsida; Sapindales; Rutaceae. The record is from RNAcentral.